This 76984-nucleotide long non-coding RNA is filed under the name Medicago truncatula (barrel medic). RNAcentral describes it as "long non-coding RNA (MTRU_LNC007736)". The stretch from base 35272 to 35357 matches the Rfam family "MIR2600 microRNA precursor family". The record is from RNAcentral. Lineage: Eukaryota; Viridiplantae; Streptophyta; Magnoliopsida; Fabales; Fabaceae.
GGUGGUGUUGGUCUGAGUCUUUGAAAAAUAAUCUCAUGUUCGAUUUCCUUUGAUAUCAAUUUCAAUGAACUAGUUUAAUUUCUUCAAAAAAGAAAUAGCAUUCUUUAAAUAAAUAAAUAAAAACAAGUCCCACAUAACCAUUAAAAUACAAAAAUGUUAGAUUGAUUCGAAUAUUGGAGCUGAAUCUCUCCAAGGUAUGGGCUUAAAAAAAAUUAUAAUCAAGUAGUACUACUAAGUACUAUCCUACUCCAAAGACUGGCCCUGGUUGUCGGGAAAGAAAAUGAUUGAUAAUGAAUUUAGGAUAAAGACCUUUUUUAAUUAGGUGAUAAAAAGAGAAAUUCAUGUAGAAGAAUUAUUUUGGAGAUAACUUUUAACAUUUGAAUUAAGAGUGAUGAUAUUUGUACAACUCUUCGGUACAACUUUUAUGAUAACUUUAGUUUUCUCUUCUUUGAUUGGUCAAAAAUAAUAGAGAGAGGAAGAGAAAGAAUAAGAAGAUAAUGUGAGUAUGAGAGAGAAAAUUGUCAAAAAGUUGUUAAAAAAUGAUUGUACAAAUAUCAUUUCUCUUGAAUUAAAUGUAAUGAAUAGAUGAUAUUUGGUGUCAAACUAAUUUUACCACCAUGAUGUCAUUUGAUCUUAUCCCUAUAUAAUGGAUGUCCUAUAAAUAAUGUGAAGUGAAAUGUAAAUGAUUUAGACUUUUCAACAAUACAUCUUUAAUUUUUUUGGGAGUCCUUUUUUCCACGUUCAAAAUCAAUUUAGAAGUAAACCUAAAAAAAAAAAGUUUAAUAAAAGUUUUAGCCUCCUAACUUUCUCAAAGUUGUGAUUUUGACCCCCUAACAAAAAUUACAAAACCGCCCCCUAAGUUUUGCAUAUGUGGCAGUUUUGGCGCCCAAGAUCAAUUUUGAUUCGGUCUACGCUGACGUGGCACCCUAAGUGAAGUGCCACGUGUUAUUUUUUUUACCAAAAAUUGACCUUGGGGGGCCAAAACUGCUACAGUUGAAAAAUUUGUGGGGCGAUUUUAUAGUUUUUUUCUUAGGCUGCAAAAACUGCUAUUAAACCAAAAAAUAUUUUUACCCUUCGAAAGUUUACUUUCAAACAAAGAUAUAGUUUUCUUGCUCUCUUGAACUAUACUUUCGGAUGCAUGCAUGUGUUUUUCUUAGGAAUAUGAAGUGGAAAAAGAAGCUAAGCUCUUUAAUUUUAUUUUAUUUUACUCUUUAAAAAAAAAAAAAAAAAAAAAAAUCUCUAAAGUAAGUCCAAUCCAUUAACACUAUUAGAUGAGCCAAUUCUGAAAAAUCCAAGAGUUUAUCGGGUGGAACAACUUAACACACCUACACUUCUAAAAACACCACAUAAUUUCAGAAGUAUAUUUCUAGACAGAACCUAAACUGUGUUUUGUCUGGAAGUAAGAACAGCACAAAAGUUAUAAUUUUUUGUAGGUGUGCAUCUAAAGGCAUUUGGAGGUGAGAAAAGUUCUUCUCACUAUGAACAUGGUAGGGCCGGGGUGGAGUAAACAGAAUGCUGUACAAUUAGUGAUUGUUUUGUUGUGUGUAUAUUGUUUUAAAGAUUAUAAAGAGGAGUGUAUAUGAUAAUUGUUGGAACACUUAAUCAUAUUAAUAUCUAGUGUAGAUAGAGGGGAAGAAAUGUGCUCCAUUAAUUAAUUACCACUGUUAAUGGUGAUAUAUUGUCAAAAAGAAAAAUGUUAGUGGUGAUAUGAUAAUAAAGGUAGUGAAGAUGAAGAAUGCUAACCUGCUUGUUAAUAUGUGCCGGAAGGGUCUUUUCUUUAUGAUGCAGAAUCUUCUUUAUUUCUCUCUUGCUAGCUCGGCUAUCAACUUCUCGUGGUGUAUAUAGUUUGUCAUCAAAUCCUCCUUUAUAUCUACAGAUAGAUAUUUUUUUCCUCACUCUCAUAAUAUAUAGAUAAUAUAUUUUAGUGUAUUAUUUGGAAUACGUAUUAUAAUGAUUACUUAUAUCAAUUUUCAAUACAAAUUUAUAAUUAGAUUCAUUGGUUCGAUUCUCUUCGGUGUCAAUUUCAGUGGAUUACGUGUAUUUUAAAAGAUUAAUCAAACUUUCAACACCUUAUUUGAUGGAAAUUACAAGAGAAUAGAGGUAAAGUUGAGGAAAUGUGAAGAAUCAUGAGAUGACAGAGGGCCAAAUAAAGGACGUCAUACACUUACACAAUGAUUGUCAUUUUUUGGUUGCACUUGUAUAUAUAUCAAUCCUCUAUUAUUAUUUUUUUGAACGAAAUAUCAAUCCUCUAUUAAUCAUGCAAUGAUUGAUUUUUUUUUAGAAGGAACACCCGAACUAACGUUGAUUUACUCUUUUUUCUAGAUGAGGUCAAAAUAAAUGCACCCUCGGAUCACUAUAUAUUAUAAACAAAAAUUUAUUUUUUAGGUUUAUUUAAUAAAUGAUAUAUGUGGUCUAUAUAAUAAACUACAUAUAUCAUUAUUGAAUGAAUCUAAAAAUUAAAUUUUUGCUUAUAAUAAUGACCAGAUGACAAAUAUAUAAUAACGAUUUAGCGCGUACUUACUUGGCAAACUUUAUUUUGAAUUAGGUCAUGUCUGGUCCAGAUUAGUUUUUGAAUUCUACAAAAUACCAAGAUAUGAACUUUUAAAGUAUAUUGUUAAAAAUCCUUAAAGAAAAACGUAUAUUGUCAAAAAAUAAAGUAUGCGAUAGUUAUUUUUAGAAUUUUUGACGUAUAUAUAAUGAACUUUUAAUUCGAUGAAUGAACUUUGAUUUUUGACUACGUAUGGUAUGUACGUAUCAUGAAACCAUACGAUAAUUGCAUGUUGAAAUUUGUAAUGUUACAACCGACAGCUUGUUAGUUGUUUUUUUAAUAUAUUUUGACUAAUUUCGUUUUAUUUAAUAUUUAUACCUUACAUUACAUGGCAUUCAGUGGUUGUCUUAAUUUUAAUUGUAUAUAUAACACAAUUCUUUACGUAUGGACCAAAACAAUCAAAUUGUGAAGACAUACAUAUGUUUUCACAAUUUGCAUAGGAAGAUGAGUUUGUGGGAGAACUUUAGUUAUUUCUUCAAAAUGUGACUUUGCAGGUUGACAAAGAUGAUCGAUGGUUAUGAAAUUUGGAAUCAUUACAUACAUUUUCUAUUCGUAGUGCUUAUAAUUUCAUGACUCUACAACCUCAUAUUGCUUCUACGGUGGUUGUGUCAUCUCUUUGGCAUAAAGAUGACCCUCUGAAGGUUGUGAUGUGCAUUUGGCAUCUGUUUCGAGAUAGGUUGCCUACAAAGGAUAAUCUUCUUCGUCGUGGAGUUAUUGGUAACGAUUCCCGAAUGUGCGUUGGAGGGUGCGGUUAUGUGGAAACUUCUGCUCAUUUAUUCUUACAUUGUAAUAAUUUUGGGUCCGUUUGGCACCUUAUUUAUCAUUGGUUGGGCACUUCCUCGGUUAUCCCUUUUUAUGUAGCGGACCAUUUCAAUCAAUUCAGCUAUGGCGGGAGUGGUUCUAAGGUGCGGCGUUCCAUAUUACAGGUUAUUUGGUUUGCAACUGUGUGAGAAAUUUAUAAAGAAAUAAAUAACAGGUUAUUCAAUGGCUAAGAAUGCUCGAUCGUGCAAGUGGUUGAUAAGAUUAAGCCACUUGCAUUCAUGUGGUUGAAGGCGAAAUUUGCUUCCCUUCCCUUCAAUUAUCAUGGUUGGUGGCUUAGUCCGUUUAUCAUGUUGGGCAUAGACUAAUAGUUAUUUCUUUUCUUGUUUUUGCUCAUUUUCAGUUUUUAUCUUGUAAAUACUGUCUUGACUCUGUUGUUUCUUCCUUGGUUCACCUUGUGAAAUGACAUUUUAAUUUGAUAAUAUAUUUCAUUUUAGCCUCUAAAAAAAAUACAAUUUUUUUUAAGAAACAUAGACAUUUUUUUAUCAUGUAUAAUGAUUCGCCACGUCUGCCUGUCGAUGUGUGAUCAUGAAUUAGAUGCAAUAAUAGCGAGACUUGAUAUUCCUUCAACAAAAAAAAAAAUUAGUGAGACUUGAUAUCUUUAAAUAAUUGUGUCAUUGCAGGAGGUGGGGUUGUUUGUGGUAGACUGGUAGUUUUAUUGCUCAUGGGGACUCUUAGUAACUUGUCUUCUUCCCUAAAAAAAAGUAUCUUGUCUUCAAUGUGUAUAAUAUUUCUUUUAAGGGAAACAAAUUAUUCUCGGAGCGUUCCAGAUAAACUUUAUUUUCUAAUACAUAAAAGAUAUAAACUUUCCAUAAAUAUUUAUUUAUUUCAAACAUCUUUAAAGAGUGUCCAUGCACUCGAUAACAAACCAUUUUUUAAAGAUUAAAGGCUAAAUUGCAUAUUUGAACCAUUAAUUUAUUUGUUGUUUUUAUAUUGGUCCUUUAGUUAGUUGUUAAUACGUUUUAGUCCUUCAUUGUUAUUUUCGUCAGUCUAAUUGAUCAUUUACUUUUAACUUUUAACACUAGUGUCUAAGAUGGAUCAACAUUGUAGAUGAUCCAUCAAAGAUUUCAUUAAGUUUAUUAACAUUAACCGUUUGAUGUUUUUCUUUUAAACACAAUUGAUAUUUUUCUUUUAAACACAAUUAUUAGAUCACACAUGCCUACUAUAUCUAAUGGUGCACCCCCACACCUAAUCUUUUUAACUUUUCUUCAUCUUCUUCUCUUCUCCUCAUCUUCAUCUUCAUCAUAUUCAUCAAACCAAAUCCAAAAUAAACUCAAAAUCAUCAAGAGAAACAAGAAAUUUAACUUCAACAUCAUUAUCUCAUUUUUGCUUCGUCACUUUCAAAAGUAACAUCUAUACCCGAUCUCUCCAUACCAAUUAUUUCAAUGGAUUUUUCCAAAAUCUCCACCAUCCAUUCAGUUCUAAAAUAUAUACCCGAAUAAGAGAGAUAUUUAGAGAGAGUUUUCAUUAUUCAUCCAACGCAACACAUCACAGUCACAAAUCCUUAUCCAAUGGAUUUUCCCUCAAAUCUUCCAUCGGAGAAUUUUAAGGUUUCUCAUUUUUUCUCAAACCUUCUUCGAAUUUCUUCAUAAUUUUCCAUACUUUAAUCCAACUUAGAAACUACAUUGCCAUUUUCUUCAUGUUCCUUAUUCUUUUGUAGAUUUUCUUUUUUGGGAAUAUUUACUUUUUACAUAUUGGGAUUUUUUUAUUCACAUUUUAUUUUUUCUUUGCAUAACCGAAUUUUGAACUUUAAGAAUGUUUGUAAACCUAAUUUAUGAUAAUCAUGAGGAAGAAAAUAAAAGGAAUUGAGAUUGAUUCAUUUACGGAUUUCGGUUUCGCUAAUUUGGUUUUGGAUCAAGGUAGAUGUGGAUAAUUUUGAGUUUGUUUAUGGGUUUUAUCUGGAUUUGAUUUGAUGAAUAUGACAAAGGUCCGGAGGAGAAGGGAAGAAGAUGAAGAAAUGUUAAAAAGAUUAGGUGUGUGGGGUGCACCAUAAAGUAGUCAUGUAUGAUCUAAUGGUUGUAUUUAAAAAAAAAAAAAAUUAAACAAUUAAUGUUAAUCAAAUUAAUGAGGUCUUUGGUGGAUCCCCUACAAUGUUAUCCACCUCAAACAUUGGUGUAAAAGAUAACAGAAAAGGACCAAUUGGACUGACAUAAGUAAUGUUGGACCAAAACGUAACAACAAUUAAAUAAGUAACCAAUAUGAAAAUAACAAAUAAGUUAGGGUAACAAAUAUGCAAUUUAGCCAAAAUUAAACUAUCAAAAUUAGUUUAUGACUCUUUAGAUAGAUCUUAAAUAGAUUCCCAACUUUAUGAAUAUUUCAAAAAGGUCAUUGACUCUUUUAAAUUUUAUUGAUAUUAAUCCUUUAAAAAUAUGUCAGUGAAUAAAUUAAUUGUAAGUGAAUAAAUUUAAGUACCAAAUUGAAAAUAAGUUGUUAAAAUAUGGGGUUGAAUUGAUAGGAAGUGGUUUUUUUUUUUUUUAAGAAGCUAUUGAUAGGAAGUGGUUAAAUAUACAAAAUCAACUUUCUUCAACCAGAGAUGUAUGGUCCAUCAAUACUUCAUUGCUUUUGACAUUAUCAUCAAAAUUCAUCACUUAAUUCUAAUGUCUAGAACAGCAGAUGCGACAAAAUUCUACUGUCGCAAAGUUGUUACAACGUGAAAAUAUAGAAGCUGUUGAAGCUUCAUUGGCAUACGUUUGGUCACUCUUCAACGCGAAAACGAACACACCAUUAGUAGAAUCUUCCAUGCUAGGCGAGUGGCAAAUGAAAGAAAAAGGUAUGUAGGGUUUAGAAAUGGAAGAAGAAAAUUUUUUUAGAAGGUUUGAUAGAAGAAAAAGUGAUUCAAUUAAAAUCUGCGAUAAAAAAUCUCAAAAUCUCAAGAAUCCAAUAAAUAAAUAGAAUAGAUCAAUGAAGCUUCAAAGAAAAUCUUCUUAAAAAAAUUUCAGAAAAAAAAUAGCGGAAUAACUAUCUCCAAUAUCAUUUUAUUGUUAUUGAAGCUAUUGACAAGAAAAAAGUAGAGAAAAAGUUGUAUUUUUUUUAGCCGGAAUUUGAACCCCGAACCUUGUAUAUAUUAUGCAAAAAAGUAGAGAAAAUUUGUAUUUUUUUUUGUGGUGACCAGGAUUUGAACCCCGAACCUUGCAUAUAUUAUGCAUUGUCUAUACAAACUGAGCUAAGCUUAUGAGGACAAAAUUGGAUGCAACACUUAUAUAGUCUAUGAAAAAACAAAGGGUUCUGCUAACCAGUGCCCCGGGGGCACUGGAUAAGGAACAUUAAAUAGAUAUAAAUGAAUAGAUCUUACAUGAUUUACCUCAAUUAAAAUAGGAAAUAAAUCAACUAAUUAAAAUAAGAAACAGUUAUAUUUAAUGGGUCAAAUUUCUUGUCCCACUCCCAUUGUAUUAAUGCCUUCAUAUUUAUUAAAAAAAAUUCCAGCAAUUUUACUCAAGGAAAUUUGUUUUACGUGAUUUUCUUUUUAAUCAUUUUCUGAAAGCCUAUGCAUAUAAUUAGUAACAUAUCCAAAUAAAUUGAAAAUAAAUUAACAAUUCCAAAGAUAAAACAUAUUAAAUUAAAAUAUUCAAAGAUAAAACAUAUCCAAUUAAAAUAUCAAAUACAAAAUUUUCAAAUGUGUAAUUAAAUCCUCUUCAAAACAAAAUAGGAUUCCAUGCUUUGUAUAGUCAACCUCCUUUUCAAAACUUGUAGAAAUUCCACUCCAGAUGGUAUGCAUAUUUCUAUUAAAAGAACAUACAAUAUAACCAAAUAAAUUAAUUUUAAUUAGUAACAAAUAAACAUAAUUAUACAAAAAUUAGAAAUAUAGAGAAUUUAAUAAAUAAAAUGAAUAAUAAAUGUGUACCUAAACUUUUGGAAGGAGAAUUGGAUUUAAAUUUGGAUCGUCACAAAUUUUCUUUUUCUUGUUUGCCUUUUUCUUUUCCUUAAGUGGGCAUGUGGCAAUGUUAUGUCCUAAACCUCUGCAUAAUCCACAAGUGUUCAUAUUAUGUGAUAGCUCUUUUCCACCUUUAAGUCGUCGUCGUUUGGGACGACCUUUAGGUUUGGAUUUUGGAGGACAAUGAACAACAUGUUGUGGUUGAGGUUCAUUGUUACAAUCUAGUACUUGCUCCUCACCAACAACAUUAACUUGAGACUCCACAUCAUUAUCAUCGUAUGAUACUUGAAGCAACCACCGUGAAGGCAAGUAGUUAGAAGGGAUUUCAUGACAAUCUUUAUGAAGAAAAAUACUAAGAAUAUGACGACAUAAUAUCCCCCAAAAUUCAAAGAGCUUGCAACUACAUGUAGCUACCUUACCAUCCCAAAACACUACAUGUUUCCUACUAUUAAUAUCUUUAUAAAACCGCACGACAAACACAUUACCAUUUUCAUGAUCAAUUGAAUAUUGUGAGGACCUCGCAAACUCCUCUUGAAACUUUUGAAAAGAAAAACGAGUGAGAACACUAUGAGCUUGCUCUUGUAAAGGUGACAUCAACUUCAUAUUUGAUCCUUUGCACUUCUCUAACAUUAUAUCGUGGUCUUCUUUUUGCUUAAUAUCAUCAAUUGCUACAUCAACCUAAAAUUAAUAUAAAUGAAUUAAUAUGGAGUUUUGUGAAUAAACAUCAAUGAAUCAUACCUUCCAAACUAACGAGUUCUAAUAUAAUGAUCAAUACAACAUACCUGCUUUGCAAAGUCAGUUAAACUUGUGUGAGAAUUGAUGAAUCUUUUAAUGAAAGCAUUAAUACUCUCCGAUCUUCCUGUGGUUGUCAUUCCACCAAAGAAAUGAUCACGAAGAUAAGCGAGUGCCCAAUCAUUUCUGAUUUCAUACAAUCCUUUCACAUGUUUAUUUGACUGCAAGUUAUACUUAGCAACAACUUCUGGCCAUUGAUGCUCAAAUUCUUCACAUGUCUCUAACUUAUACAACUCAUAAAAUUCAGAACACCAUUUUGCAUAUUUGUCUCGAAGUAGAGCAUUAAACCAAGAACUAAACUUGAAAGUUAUGUGCCAUAUGCAGAAACUAUGUUUUGUCGAUGGAAACUCUUUUGAGAUUGCUUCUUUCAUCCAUGGAUCUUGAUCGGUUAGUAUAGUCGUUGGUGGCUUCUUCAUCAAAGAUAUAAAAGUCUAUAGAGAAUUUAAAAGCAUUUAGAUUAUCUAUGUUAAUUAAAGACGAGAAGCAUAUGCAUACCAGAAAGGGACAUAUAAUCAAAUAUUUGUUUAAUAAAAAAGAUAUUUGAGAAAUAGUUACCUUCAUUAGCCAACGAAAUGCAUACACUGUUUCGUUCCGUAAGAGUGCACAUCCAAAAAGUAUAGUCUUUCCAUGAUUAUUCAUACCCACAAAAAUCCCAAAUGGCAUUUCAUAAGAAUUGACCUUGUAUGUAGUAUCAAAUACAACAACAUCACCGUAUUUUUGGUACCAAUCAAAACAAGAAGCCGAGGACCAAAAAAUAUGCUCUAACCUUCUUUCUUCAUCAAGUGUAUAAGCAUAUUGAAAUUUAGAGGAAGUUUUUUUUGCACCCUCACAAUACUUCAAAAGAUCCAUGACAUCACUUCCUUCAGUUUUUUUAUUAGCUUUCACAUAAAGAUUGCGAAUGUCCUUUUCAGUAUAUGGAAGAUAACCAUGCUUCACAUUUUUCUCUAGUUCUAUAACCCGCAUUAUUUGUCUAACCGAAAGCCCACCUUCUUUUAAUAAGAAAAUGCGUUCACGGUCAUCUUCUAAGAUAAUUCGAUAAGCCGGUAAAAAACGCACCUCUGUUUGGGUUAGCAAACCAUGGUUGUGUUUGACAAUAAACGAUGUGACUCGCCACUCAGUUGGAAAUAUAUCAUGAGAUUUUUGUAAUUUGAUUCGUAAAUGAGCUUUGCAUUCACACUUUGAGGAUUGUCUAUUUCUCUGCUCUUUUGAUGGUUCCAUUAUUUUCAAGGAUGCUUUACCUUCACGAUGACAAAAAAUAUCACGUCUGCAAAUAACCCCAUUCUUUUUUACGAAUCUACCUUUUUUAAUUGAGAACCCUUGUUGAUAAGCAUAUCUCUUAUAAAAGACAUAGGCUUCUUCUUCACUAAGAAAAAUUUGACCAACAAAUGGAACACAAUUUGUCUCAGUUCCGUCUUUAUCGACUUCUUCAUUUGUUGCAUUAUUCAGACUUAAAACAGAGUUUUCUUUCUCAACAUUCUCCACUAAAUUAUGAUCAAGUUGCUCACUAAUUAUUUCUGAAGAACCAUUAUCUAUAAAAAUAUCUUCUAUUGGAUAUUCAUUCAAAUCAAAACUUAUUUUAUUGUUUGUCUUUGUAGCACUAAUACUAUCCAUUAUGUUAUUUAUCAUCUACAAAUAAAAACAAAAACAUAUAAACCAAUAACAUAAAGACAAGAUAUAAACACUAUAACAUAUAACAUAUUAAAACAAGAAGGUAAAAAAAAAAAAAAAAAAACCUUGAAUAGUACCUAAAAUUUGAAACGUAAAAGACAAGAAGUUUUUUAUAUUAUAUAUACAAAUGCAUACCGUAGGAUUUCAUAUAUAUAAAUGAGCAUAAAAAAUAAUAAUAAUAAAGAGAGUUGGUACCUGCAAAAAGCGGUGUCGUAGGAUUUCAUAGAAAAAGUGUAAAAUGGAAAUUUGUUGAAAAGUGGUGACAAAGAAUUUACUUACGAAAUUCAGAAGAAAAAAGGAGAAGGAAAGUUAAAAGGGCAACGGUAAUGAGGCGCCUGUAUAUUAAUGUUGUCAUUUAAUUAGUAUUCAAUUCAUUCAUUCCUACUUUAAUUAAGUUGACCAAUUUUUAAUUUUAAUUGAAGUAAAUUAAGUGGGGCCCAUUGAUUUUAUUGUUCCUUAACCAGUGCCCCCGGGGCACUGGAUAGCAUUACCCAAAAACAAAUGACUAGUGGGUAACUAUUAUUUAAAAAAAGAGAAAAGAUACACAGACAUCCCAUAAUUCCAUCCACCUUCUACCAUUGUUCAUGUGGCAUUAAUUUCUUGUCUCAUCCACCAAAAAAAUUAAAAACAAAAAAUAGGACAAUCACUUUCUCUCACAUAUAUCUCUCUGUUACACCCUUUUUCUCUGGUUUACCUUCCUCUCUCUCACUCUUCAACCCCUUGUCUCUUUUUCUCUCUUCUCCUUCAAUAAUUUCUUUUGGUUGCCUAUGUUGCCGUCGUUCCCACCUCUGUAUGCAUUUUGAAAAUGUUUUUGUUGGAUUUAUUUAAAAAGGUUGUUGUCAUUGUGUUUUAGAGGAGUGUGAGGCAGAGAUAAUAGAUCCCGAGAAGAGAGAGGGUGAGGAUGGCAGCGACGACGGCGACGGUGGCGACGACAGUGGUGGAUCUAAGGGUCGGCAUGAGGACGACAGUUGUGAGAUCUGAGUCUUUGGACGGUGACGACGGUGGUGGUGGUAGGAUUUGAGGUUGAAGACGGCGGAGGACGGUGAUGGAUGUGGCCGCUGGUGGUGGUGAACAUGAAUGGGUGGUUGGAUAAGUGACAAAGGUUGAAAGAAAACUGAAUGCUGAAUGAGAGUCACAAUUUUUUUGAGAGAGUAAAUUUUUUUUUUUGGUUGAGCUGGCUUUUUUUAUAUUUUAUUGUGACAAGUGGGAGGGUGUAAGAGAGGGGUACACCACGUAAGGGUGUUUACCUAUCAGCUCUCUAAAAAAACUAUUAGAGUGUAAACUCACCGUGAAACAUCUUCAACAUCCCAAUAAUAUUAUUAAAAUAAAAUUGAAAAAGAGAGUACAAUUUAGGGAAACUAGACCAAAAUUAUAUAAAAAAAAUAAAAAUAACAGUGGGAUAUAUAGUUACCUCGUUAAAAACCUUAUCUAAAAAUCUCAAUGAGAUAAAAUCAAAUGAAGGAAAAAAGAGUGUAACAACAAACAAAUAGUAACAAAUAAAAUCAUUAUCAAGAAAGAUAAUAAAGGUGACCUAAUCUAUUUCUAACCAAACGGUCCUCACUCCCGAAUACAAGAACCGGUUAUUUUUAUGCAAUAUUACAAGACCAAUGACCCUAUUAACUGAGUCAAUUAUUAAUGAACAUCACAUAAAUUUUAGCUAAUGUGAUAAGUUGUGUGCAUCAAACAAGCACAAUUUUUGGAACCAACAUCAUUUGCAAUGCAUAGAGGCUUAAAUUGUUCAUCUUUUGACCAAAUGGAUCGUUUUUCAAUAAAUUCAUGAACAAAGGUGUCCAACAUUUCAACAGAAACAUGUUGUAACACUACCACAUGUGCAAUAUUCCCACUGCAUGCCAAAUUCCAGCUACGAUUGAAGUCAUCAUCGAGGGGCCUCUCAAAUACAACUAUGUUGCUGAACUCGUUUAACAUAGCACCAAUUCCAGCAUCACGUAGUAGAUUUAGUAAAUAAUGUGCUUUCAUUAUACAUUCAUGCACCUCAUUUUCAAGUCCUAUUAAACCCCUUUUUUUGAGAGCAUACCAAAGGAAGAUGGGAGCAUGCCCACAACGGCUACCUGUGAUUGUGGCAUCCCUUGAAGCAAUGAUGCCAACAUCUCUAGAUAUCGCACUCAUGUAUUUCAAACGAGUUAUCACAACACCGCAAGGAGAUGGGCAUCCCAAAAACUUGUGACCUGAAAUAGUUACACUGCCAAUAGGUUUCUUGAAGCUAACCUUUAGAGCCUGUAACAUCAUCACCAAAACAAUAUUUUAGAUGAAAUCAAGUAAUCAUUCAUUUACGGUAUAUUCUUAAAUUAAACACGAAGCCUUGCUUGAGUUAAGAAUUCUACAUAAUCAUAGUUUUCAAUUAAAUUUGAAUAAGUUUCAUUCAAUUAGUUGUGUUAAUACUUUUUCCUAUAUGAAAAUGUUUUUCGUGAGUAAUGUAAAGGAGGACAUUUUUCACCUUAAAAAUCGAUUUUGUAAGGUUGAAUUAAACUGAACCUAAUGUUCUAAAAACAACAAAUAUUUUGUUAAAAUAGAAGAAUACAUUGGUAUCAUAGAAUUUUGUUGGAUAUAAUACCUAACAUUCAAUACUUUAAUGUCAUAUAAUUUUUUAUUUAUAUUUAAUUAUUUCGAAUAAAAUUUGCUUAUAGGAUACCAAAGAAUUUUCAAAAAUAAAAAUAAAAGUUUAUGAAAAUAAUUUAAACUCACUUGUUUUAUAAAAGGCAACAUAAUUCCAAAUAGAGCUCCAUCACAGUGAAUGUAGAAUCGAUCACGAGUAAAACCACAUUUCUUUAGUGUUUGUAUUACAAGAUCAAGAUCAUCAAUACCUCCUUUCAUAGUUGUCCCUGCAAUAAAAUAAAUAUGUAAGCCCAAGUUUAGUUUUUGGUGGGAUCUAAGCUUAAGUUUAUUAAGUUUAUUAAUUCAAAACUUUAUUGAAAUGUGCAUGCAUAAAUGGUGCAGUGCGAAUAUAUAUAGUUUUCAAAAACAUGGAUAAUACACAAGAGACCUAUGUUUAGAUUGAUGAUGGCUGGUUUGUCCUUGUGGGAAAGUAGACUGGCCUCUAGUUGAACACAAUCAAUUUCACCUGAGAAUAAAGAACCAACCUUCACACAAUGCAUUCUAUACAUUCUUGCUAUUUUGAAUAUUGAAUAAUGUGACUCUUGUGAAGUAUAUAGAAUCCCAUCUGGAAAUUGUUCUCUCCUGUAUAGAAAUGUAUGAAUUAAUUAUGCUUGUGUACUAUACAUGUUGCAUAUAAUAAUUAUUUUAGAUAUAUGAACAAGUUGUACGUAGAAAAACUGACCCUACUAAAAUUCCAUGAAGAUUGCCUUCACUUCCACCAGUUGUGACAUAUCCCCAAUACUCACUAUUGUCUAUGUUCCAAAGAUUUGCAAACCAAUCAAGCACACUAACUUCAAAUGGAGAUGAAUUCAGAGAGAAACUACUUCCAACAAAUGGAUCACCCGCAUUGUUCAAGUGAAAAUGAAAUAAUGGUGCUAAUUUGUCGUAGUUGAAGUCUUGAUUAGUGGGGUAGCCUUCAAUAUCAUUUUUUUGACGUUAGUAAGUGAAGAAUAGUUUAUGCUCAUAAAAAAAAAAAAAAAAAGUAGGUGAAUUGUUUUAGAUAGGUAUCAAAGAAUUUAAACAUCCAAGGAAAACAAUAUACCAUACGGAUCUAGUGAAUAGAAUGAAAAAUUUAAUGAAGAAGAAAAUGAUUUUUUUUUUUUUUUGUUUAGAUAACUUAAUAACUAAAUAUAGAAAAAUGAAGCACCAAAACCCUACCUAAGUUACGUAAGUUGUACUUGUUUAUAGUCUCCGCAUAGCGAGCAAUUAUUGCAUCCAAAUUGGCAUCUUUUUCGCCCAUGCACUCGUUGAUAGGAAGGUCCUUACGUCUAUUCUCUUCAUCAACAUUUUCACGUCUCUCUUCUUCUAUUGACAGCUUGGCAUUGUUAACAUUAACCAUCGGAAACAACUCUGAAUCAGAAUUGAAAGCCAUUGCCAUGGUGCUUUCUCCUAGGUUUUCCAUAAUUAUUAUAUACUUGUAAUUUUGUAGUUAAUUAAUAUAUAUGAAUAUGACCAAUGUAUAUACUGUUUAUAUAUAGCAAAAGAAGGUGAGUUAGUUAAAUAUUUUGUGGAUUGGGUGUAUUCUUCUAUACUUGAAUCAAUGAUGUCCACAAUUCAUUUUGGUGUACAUACGUAGUAUUUUCCUAUCACACACAAACGUGUUGUGUGCAAGUGUGAGUUAUAUGUCCCAUAUCGGAUAGAAAAGUAAAGGUUUGAAAACCUUAUAAGUAAGAGGACCAAUAAACUCAUUGCCUUAAUGUUUGGGUAACAGUGUGACGUCUUUCUCUCUUGUGGGGGUAGUUCUAACCUCGAUGUGACCCUCCUGGCUCCCCUCUGUGCGUCCGGAUCCUCUCCAUUUCCAAUGAAAAUGGGGAUCCACAUUUCCUUACCUUGCGGAACUACAUGUGCCGUAAGUGGAAACCAACGGAUGAGAUCUAUUCUUUCUUUAAAACCAAUUAAAAUUAUUAAAUAAUAAAAGAAUUCAAUUUAUAUUAAACAAAAUAUGUUGCCAAAUUUGAGGGGAAAAUUGUAGACAAGAACAGAUCUGACGGUAACACCAAGGAAAAACCAAGCCAUCUCCACAAAGCAUUCCACACCUCUGUUUCAAUCUGAAAUUGAACAAUUGAAUUUCAUUAUGCUUAAUUACAAUACAGGAACAAAUUCUUUUAUUAUAAAUGAAAUUCUUUUAUUAUUUAAUAAUUUUAAUUGAUUUUAAAGAAAGAAUAGAUCUCAUCCGUUGGUUUCCACUAAUGCCACAUGUAGUUCCGCAAGGCAAGGAAAUGUUGAUCCCCAUUCUCAGAGGAAAUGGAGAGGAUCCGAACUCCCCCUCUGUGAGCUAACAAAACGGAUAUUGGUCAUAAUGUCUUGCAAUAUCUUAUAGUUUGUUUUGUUGGAUGGUGAUUGGGCUGAAAAAGAAAACUACCUAAGACCUACCAAAUAGAAUAAUGAUGUUCCCACAUCUAAGGAUGUUAGGAAACACCGCUAAAAUACCAAAAUAAUUUCAUCGACAGUUAACUGCCGAUGAAUUUUAACCGGAUGUAAUUAACUGCCGAAGAAAAUUGGAGUUAAAUUUGUUAUUUUAUGGUGUUUUUUUAGCCUUCACAAGAGUGUAAACAACAAUUUUCUACCAAAUAUUAGAAAUCAAUGGCAAAUAUAGAAGUGGCAAAACAUGAAGAAAACUUCAAUUUAGUUUCUUCAAAACAAAACUUUAACGUUUUAAAGAUUGGUCCGAAUCAGCAGAUUCAAUUGUGAAUUAGGCAGUUCGUUGAUUGAGUUGAUCUAAACUUUACUUUAAUCUUGUGGAAUAAGGUUGAACCGAUUGAAUUGUGGUUGAUUCAAUUUUCAACCAGAGUGGAUCAUGAUCCGUAUCACUAUUUGAUUUUUAAUGCAUCUUUUAAAGAUUAUUUUAAAUUAUUAAGAAAAUACUAGUACUAGGGAAAAUAUAUUUUAUCGUGUUUUUCUUACAUCGUCGUUUCAAUCUUGCCGGUUAGCUUAAUGGACAGUUACGGAUUAUGGUGGGGAGCCGAAUAUGGUAUCGGUCAAAUAGUGAGCCUGCAUUUGGGCAUCACUCCUCAUCUCAUGUCAGUGUCUUGAAUUUGUAAGGUGAGAAAAUAUCUAAAUUCCGCAACAUGCGAACAUAUCGUAAAAUUCUUUUAAAAAAAUAAAUCUAUACAAAAUCUUUUUUUUAGUAGUAAAAUAACAUUGGUUUUACACGUUUACCUAUAUAAAUUUCAGGAAAGAUAUAGUUUUCUAUUAAAAAGUAGCGAUAUUUUUAAAAAUAUACUAACUUCAGACUUCAAAGUAUAUAUAAGUUUGAGUUUUUCCCUUAAAAAAAGUUUGAGUUUAUACGUAAAGGAUUAUUGAGAAUAAUAAAAUAUAGAAGAAGAUUUGAUAUAAAAUAUAGAGAGAAAUUGGCAUGUAGUGCAAGUGCAACACUGUGAAAAAAAUAAUUUUUUUUAUUAUUUUAAUGGUUAAAUUAUAACUUUUUUUUAACCAAGUUGUAAUUUGACCAUUAAAGUAAUAUAUAUGUCCAAAAAGAAAGAUAAGGGGAAUUAGAUCAACAACCUUUUCAAAAGUUAAUAAAUCUGAAAUUGGGCAUACCUACAUGUUCCUAGUAUACUCAUUUAUGAUAAGUUAGAAAAAUAUGUCCAUAAAGUUAAAUUAAAAAAGGAAAGGGUAAGGUCAAAAGGUCAAAGUUGGCUAAUCUAUUUGCAGAAACAUUCCCUUCUCAAGUAGUAAAAAAUGUCUUGUUACUUGUUAGAAGUAAGCAAUUAAGUCAUUUGUUCCACAAACAUGCACUACUUUUAUAGACUUGAAAGCAAGAAGGACUAGCUGAGAGUCUGAUUUUAGCCGGAGCCUAUGGUCAAAUUACAACUAUCUCAAGUGAGAUUCAAAUUAUGUACAAUAAAAAAUACAAAGUCAAACUAUAAUCAUUGAAUCGACGGGUGCAGUUAUCAUGCAUAAGAAAUUGCAUAAAUUUCAGUCCAUUAUGCCAAAACCAUUUUGCAGUGGAAAUGGUUUUUGUGAGUUGGACUCCAAAACUAUUUUGCAAUGGAAAUGGUUUCUGUGAGUUGGACUCCAAAACCAUUUUGUUGUGGAAAUGGUUUAUGUGAGUUGUACUUCAAAAUCAUUAGAUGUACUUAAUGGUUUUGAAUUUUCUUUUUCAUUAAAAUUUCAAGAAUUGUUGAUGAAUCAACACCGUUGAUUUAUCUUGUUCCGAUCAAUUCGCAACAAUUGAAUAAUUCAAGAAAUGAAUUGAAGAUGUAUGAAUCUCUCGCCGUCGUGUGAACCUCUAAGAAUCCUUCCGGUUGGAGAGUUCUACAUAUCUCACCGGCGAAUUCCGCCGGUUUAACGAAUUCUUCGAAGAAACCGCCUUUACCGGAGAAUUCAAAAUCGAAGGAAUCACCAGGAAAUGGAUGUUUCCGUCCUUCUCCUUGAAUAAUCAACGGCGGUGACGGUUUCUUGAAUAUUCCGACGGAGUCCACAACGCCAAUUUCCUUCAACGCUAAAACAUCUUCUCCGGUGGGAGUAUCAAUGCACAGAGCUUUAGAAUUCGGCAAAAGUGAGCCUUCUCCGAUGAGAUCCUAGAAAAUAGAGGCGUAGUGUUCAACGGAGCGGCGCCAAUUCUUGCCGGAGAAUGGAUCGCCGGAGGUGGAGAGAUGAGAGGGGGCGGUGAGGUUUAGAUUUUCGGAGAAGAAACAGAAAUCGGAGGAGUUGCAUGAUCUGCCACGGACGGUGACGAUGAUGGCGAAUCAAACAGCGAAGAUGAGAUCCAACAUGAUGUUGUUGUCUGAUUCUUUGGAGAAGAGAUAUGCGAUCAAAUCUGAUGGUUGUGAAGUGUUUAUGCAGCGUGCAUAAGGAAAUGACUUAUGCAUGAUAACUUUGCCCUGAGCCAACAUCUCUUAGACAUUAUAUUAUAUUAUACUAUAUUGUUAUUUUGACACGGCACGGCAACCUUGUAGUAAUACAAUGGCCUUGAAGACAUAUUAAAUUAAAUAUGUUUUUUUAAGAAAUUAAAUUAAAUAUUUAUUGAAUAUAUGAGUAUAUAUUAUAUUAUAUAUUGAAUACUCAUCAUUCGGUCUCAAAUAUAUAUAAAAAAAAAAAUCAAAAAAGUUGAUUAGAUAGAGUUUGAAUUUUGAAAAAGGUGCAUCAACUUUUUAUAACCAAAUAUUAUUUAUAUACUAGCGUUUAGACGGAGUCGGUGUCAGUCUGUCCCGUCUUCUUAUUACGUUAAUGCCUGUGAAUUACAAACAUUAGUUUUUAUGAAAUUUUGAUUAAACUUAUCUUGAUUUUGAUUUUUUUUUAUUUUGAUUAAAAUUAUAGGUAUAAAUAAUAUAUAUAUAUAUAUAUAUAUAUAUAUAUAUAUAUAUAUAUAUAUAUAUAUAUUGCACUUUCAUAUUUUAAGUGUAAAUCAGACUCGGUUUGCAUAAAAUAUGAGAGAUAAAUGACAAAAUAAAUCUUAUUUAAAACAAUUAAAAAAGAGCUAUGAAAAUUAUAGGAGUUUUGUUAUAUGGCACGAGAGGUUCCGCACACGAAUUGCACAACAUGUUCAUUUACAUGUGAACUUCUCUCUUAAUGGAUGAAAGUUUAUAACUUUUUUUCAAAAAUAAAAGCCAAACCAACAUAAAAUAAAAUAAAUUAUUGGUAUUAAUUAAGAAUUUGUUUGAAAAAACACCCAGUAAUUUGAAAGAUGACUUAUAUUCAGGUGUAAAAAAAACUUCUUUCCAAAACAUGCUUAGCAUUAAAAACAAAUGGAAUACUUUAUCAUUUAAUUCAACGUAACUAAUCAAUUUCAUAAAAAAAUGUGUAUUUCCUUAAUAAAAAAAAUCACAUAAUAUGAGACAAAAAGAAUGACGUCGUAGUCCCUAUUUUCUUUAAAGAGAUGGAAAUUAAGUUGUUUAAGUGCAGCUUAAACCUUUGAGCAAGCCUUAAAGAACACUUUGUAAUACACAUUGCUUCAAGGGUGAUGCAGUUGCCAUUAAAAUUCUGGAAUAUGAGUAUGUUGUUAGGAUUGACAUUUGCAAGAAUUUUCUUCUUAGAAGAUUGAUGUUGAAGAAAGGGGGCACCCUUCCCACUUUGGAUGACUUGCACAACAAAUGAAACAAUCUUAAAAAGGUGCUUGAAAAACGGUCUCUCGCACCUAUUGGUAAGAAAUUUAUAUUUUCACUUUUUCGUCUAUUGAGGAUAUACGUAGGGUUCUUGUUGUAGGGCCUUGAAACCUUGCACCAAGAAUACUUCAUUUGUUUUCGUACACGCCAGAUACAUGGUUAGAAACACUAAUGUUCAAUUUUAAAUUAGGAUUCAUGGCAUUCCACUUGAAUAUUGGAGGGGCUUAAAAGAAAAUUCCUAUUGGAAGGAGUAUCAGAAUUCUUCUGGUAUUAGAUGAAGCGAGAAGCGAUUAGUAGCGAAGAUGAUGUUUCGAUUUAUCUUUCUUAAUUGAAUUUCAGAAUUUUUUUCAAAAAUUUAGACGAACAUUCACUUUAAAGAAGACCUUUAAAUUUAAAGAACAUUUUCAAAAUAUUUAUAUUUAUAUCUCUUCAAAAAUCAAGCAUAGUUUUGACCAAGACUUUUGAGUCUAAGAACUAUUUUUUACCAUAAGGACAAAAUCAUGUCAUUUGUUUUUUGAUUGUGAUGUUUCUUAUAAGUUAUGUUUGGAUAUUUUAUCUUUGCUAUGUGUUAGCCGUGCUUUGUCUCAAUUUGUAUGUUUGAUUUCCGAUAAGAAAUUUGUGAAUGACUAUCUUCAAUUAAUAUGAAUGACUUGCUCUAGUCAUCUUGUUUUUGGUAAUCAUGACAAUUUUAAAGAUUCUCUUGUUGGUUUGCUGAAUCUUUUAGUUUGGUCUUGUAUUUUUUUGACACAUACUUUGGUUAUGUAUUAAAACCAUUUUUUUUUUUAAAAGGCAAAAAUGUAUUAUAUUAUCACAAAUCAAUAAGUCCUCCUCCACAAGGUGUAAGAUAUGGAACUCACGGAGAAAACGUCAGUUACAUUAAAGUAUCAACAAAGAGAGAGAGAUAAUAGAAAAUUAAAAAGAAAAAUGUUAGAUAUCAAUAAUGAUUUUAUCAAGAAAGAUUCAAGAAUGACAUGGCAGAAUAAUCACCCUUAGAUUCCAGUCUUAUUUAUUAAUCUUUUAUAAAAAAUAAAAAAUAAAUACAUAACACCCAACACCCCAUGAUUUCCGGCCAGACUGAGAUUUUAUUGGCUAACAUUAAUUUUGGGAUAAUUUCUUGAUAAAAUCUAAGAGUUAUUAUUCUGCCAUGUAAUUCUUGAAUCUUUUUUUAUAAAAUCUUUCUUGAUAUACAACAUUGCUCAAUUAAAAAACAACUAACAAACAUAAAAAGGGGUUAAGCCUCUAAAGUUGAUAUUCAAAGUCAAGCUGAACGUAUUUCGACUUCAACCACCAGAAAGAAUGAAGUUUUACUAACCAAAUAAUACAAAAACCCUCGUGUAGUUGUUUGGAAGAUCAACCUAACCCUCUAAAUUCAACAAUAUGCUCCCGAUCCUUUAUUAACCAAUGACGAACCUGAAACCAAAUACCACAGCUGGCCAUAAAACUUACAACGGAAAAAUAAAUGGUCCCUAUCCGCUUGCAUGCCAUAGAGCCCCGUACAAAUUUGAUCAUUCGUUGUCAGAACCCUUCGGCAAACCAUAUUGUCUUUUGUGGGCACCCAGUUGAGUAAUAAACGUCACACAAAAAGAUUGAUUUUUAAUGGAACCGUCUUUAACCACAUAACUGGACUGUUGUCAGGAAACAUACCACCAUCCACCGCCAAGAUGUUGUUAUAGGCGUAGCACACCGUAUAGUGAUGGGAAGGAUGUAAAUUCCAAACCCAUAUGUCCUCCCUAUCAGCCUGCAAAACAACAUAAUUUAAUAGUUUGACACAUUCCCCGACCAACUCCUCCUCCCAUACAAACAACAUCUUACACCACUGUCACGCUACACCAUCCAACCCCCAGCCUAAUGAGUGCAUGUCAGCCACCGUUACCACUUUGAUAAGCGAUAAAUCAUAAAGUCAACUAAAUCUAUCACUCAAGGGAACUCUGCCUAACUAUGGAUCCCGUCAAAAGAGAGUAUCUGAUCCAUUAUCCUCUACACGGUUAAUAUUAUCAUGAAACCAACCACUAUCCAUCAGACCCCGACCCUCUCUAAUCUAGUUAAAAUUCCUCCACCACACAGAACCUCCUCCUCCCCCUAUAACUCAAUCGCCCCCUUUCCUCCCCGUAUCUAACACCCAACACCUGAUACCAUAAACUCUUCCUCUCCUCCAACGCCCUCCAACACCACUUACCAAACAAAGCUAUAUUAAACUCCCUCAACCUCUGCACCCCUCGACCACCAGUUUCUUUACUCAUACAAACAAUAUCUCAAUUAAUCCAAGACAUUUUCUUAUUAAAAUCAAAGUUAAGGCGUUCUCCAAUAUUUUUUGUCAGUGAUGCACUCAUCAACUGUUUAAAUAAUUAUGCGUGACUACUCUUGAAUUUUUUUUUUUGUUGGAUUGAUAGUGUCAUUAUGUUUUGGCGUUUUUAGUUUAUUUACUAUCGUAUCAUUUGAAUCUAUUCUUUUGAAAUUUAUUUUGGUCUACUAUUUAAAAUUUGUUUUGUGCUUUUGUGGAACAUACAAAACAUUCACGAUAUGCCAAUAAAAUGCCCCAUCUAGUCUCAAUAACUAAUAUAUUCGAUCUUUAUAUAUUAAUCAUCGAAUGAAUGUAAAUAAUUAUUUUUUUAGAAAAGAUAUGUAUUAUUAUAUGCAGGAACCGAAAUUUAAAUGUCAGACACUUCGCUCAUUCACCUUAAAAAAUGUGAGUUGUAGCAACUAAAUUACCUAACAAAACCUCCUAUUAAGGAGGAACAUUUACCCUCAAAGCAACAUUAUAAUAUCCUGCCCCUUAAUCUUACAACAUACCCAUCAAAUUGACGAAAUUACCCUUGCUUAUUUUCCACUCUCAACUUUAAAACCAGAGUCAAAGAUCCUCUUUCUCUUUUCCCUUUCUCUCUUUUCUCUGCAAUUUUCAACCUUCUUUCUAUUUCUUCUUCACCAUGCAGCAAUCUUGAUCUAUACCAAAAUAUCGAUAUCAAUGGAUUUACUUGAAGGCGUUGGAGAGAGUUCAUCGCCACCUCGUUCCUUCGGCGGCGGUUACACGAACUACGAUAUCAGAACCGACGUUUAUAACCGUUUGGUUGAAACCGGUCACGAACAAGCCGUAUCGAAUCCGGAGUUUCGUGAACAGCUUGAUUCUCACUUCAAUCGUUUGCCUCCAAGGUUCUCUUCAUCAAUUCUAUCGUCACUGUUCAAUUUCAUUUUCUCACUGUUUUUGUUGUUUUGAAUUUGAAUUGUUUUUGGAUUUUACUAUUUGAAAAUUUGAAUGUCGUUCGCGCAAUUUUAUGUGUUCGAUUUAUUUAGCUAAGAUUUGAGUUGAGUUGAGGAGUAAGAAAUUGAAGUGAUGAAAAUAUGGAUAUUGUUAUUAUUUUCAGUUAUGGACUUGAUGUGAAUGUUGAUAGAGCUGAAGAUGUUUUACUUCAUAGGAGUCUUCUUGAUUUGGCAAGAGAUCCUGAUAAGCGUCCCGUUUACCAUAUUCGUUUAUUGGAGGUAUUGUUGUUACUUUUGUUCCAAAUUUUGAAUCACUUCUAGAAUUAGAAACUUUAUGUUUAGUAGUUCAUCAUGAUAAUUUAAAAAACGAUACACUUUGCGUCACACAAUAAUUGUCGCAUUUGAUAAUUUCACAUAGAUUACGGAAAGGAAAUGAUAAAUAAAAGAAAGAGAACGAUGAUUUUACUGAUUUAUCCUUAUUAACUAUUAGUGUUUUCUCAUCGGUGUAGAAUAUAAAUGCAAAGAUAGUUGUUUGAUUCUUACCAAACAAAUGAGGUUCUUCUGCUUGCAUAUAUUCACCAAAGGAAAUACCUGUGCUAGCCAACUUGCAUCCUAUGUUGUAUCCAAUUCUCGUUUCAAUGGUGGAAUGUAAUUCUAUCUCUCAUUUCCGAGGAAUUUUUUAGAAAUAGGAACCAUCUUCCUAACUUCCGUUUUAAAUGAUUUCUUAAUCAUGAGUUUUGUAUUUGAUUUGUAGUUUUUUACACCGCACUCUUUUUUUUAUACCUUUGGGUUUUCCUUGUAAGGUUUUUAAUGAGGCGAUUGUAGUUUGUUUCUCAUGAUUGUACCCUUGGCUUUUGGCAUAGUCCCCCAAGUUCUAUUAUUUUCUUUUAUUUUAAUAAAUUUAUUAGGGGUGUUACAAAUGAUAGAUGGUGAUCUUGGGUGCCAACAUAGUUGGAUGUCAUUUCUGCCAUGCAAUGCUUUGGCACUAUAACUUUUGCUUAAAAAAACUUGAGGGUGUAAAUUGUAUUAAUUAGAGGGUACAAUUGGAAAAAAAAUUAAUACAUUGGAAACCUAAGUGACAAUCUUUUUGGGACAAUUUUUUCCGCAAAUAUAACAAGUAUUAUGGGACAAAGGGAGUAAUUUUUUUCUCAUAUUAAUGCCUGUACCUAUGAAGCGCUGGCACAAAUAUGGACACUGGAACAACAGUGAUACAUGGACACUGAUAAUACUUUGAGAAAGCAAAAGUGAUUGAACAUAACUUAUAACUAUAUGUAUGUGUGAUGGACACACAUAGAUAUGUACUGACUUUUCUUCUCCUAUAUACCAUUUUGCUGGGCAGAAUAUUGCUACUAGGACAGAUGGUGAGGAUCAAGAAAUUGUUAAUACUCAUACUCGCCCCGAGUCUUCUUCUCAUGCAACAAAUGGGGGAGUCAUAGCAUCUAAUAAGAGGUAUUCAGUGAAAUUUGAAGUAUAAUAAUGCAUAUAUACAUGCGCACAUAUUCACAGUAAGGUUUCACAAAACUGUUGACGUAAAUAUCAGUUUUAUCUUUUCAUAAUCUAUAGUUUAUGUAAUUUCUAUCUUUAGGACAAGAGAUCUGGCAACCGAGUUUGAGACUUACUCGAAGCUUGAGGAUCUAAAUUUGGAUGUUAUGAAGAACUCCAAGGAUAAAAUUGACAGCUUUUCCCAGAGGUACCAAUUGAAUAAAAUUGUGUCGUGAAUUCUUACUUUAUCUUUAAACUUUUGAAAUGAUUAUCUUGUUACAUUCAUCAGAACCCAAUAUGGCUGCAAUUGUUGUUUGUAGAACAGGAAUUUAGCUCUAUAUACUUGUUACAAGUGGAAUUAGAAAGUCCAAACUACUAAGAGUUCAUGCUAGGUGAGAAAAUGAGAGGAAGACCCAAAAAAACUGAGAGAAGUGUAUUCUUAGAAUAUGAAAGAGAACUUUCUAAAAAAUUUAUUUGUUAAAUCUUGAAAUGAUACAGAAGCUGGUCCUCUGUAUUUAUAAAUUUAAGGGUAACAGAAAAUAACCAGUUAACUAACCAUAAUUGUUAGUUAGUUACUUACUGACUCUAUUUGAAAGGAAGCUUCUAUCACAGAAGCCGAACAUCAGCUACUAGAAACAGAAGCUGCGAGAAGCUAAUAGUAGCAGCACCUAAUUAUGUGCUAUGCUUAUGCAAUAGAAGCAACAACGCAAUAUGGAAUAAUAUGCACCUGAACAUUCCCUUUAACUCAUGGUCCUUGUGCCGAUGAAAAGUAAUCAAACACUAAGGCUAUCUCUGAGAAUUAUGAAUCUCCGAGUAGAUAGAGGUUUGGUUUGUAUGUGGACCUGUUGAUGGAAUGCAAUGGACCACUAGACUCUUUUAGAACUCUCUCUCUAAAAAAAAUAUAGCCAGCUCCAUGUAUUUAGCUCUAGAAUGUAAAAUAGGAUUGUAAAAUAGGGCCUAAAAAAACUCAAUAACCAGAGGUUGAUCUUCUAUCAUCUGGGUUAGCAGCCAGUUUGCAUCACAUAUUCAUAAUAGGCUUUUAGAGGAAGUGGCGGUCUUGGCAAAGCUUUGAGCAGAAGACUGUUGUCAUUUGUUGUACCCUUAAGAUAGAUGAGUAUUCUUUUAACUAUUUCUACUGUUCCGUUAAGGGUUAUAGAGAAAUUGACACACUUUUUUUACUGUAUAGGAAAUUUAUGACCUGGUAAAUAUGGAAAUGCCUUUUGCUUGUGGUAUGUGAGCUCUAGGCAAUAAGUCCUGAAUGUACCUUCCUUUUAAAAGGAAUAGAGACAUCCUUUAAGCGAUUCACUUCAAUGCCCAGAAAAUAGUCUUAAGCACCUAAAUGCUUGAGAAAAGUAGAUUUAAUUAUGGAAUAAGCUUGUUUAGACCCAUGAACAGUGAAUGAAGACGAACCACAUUUAUUGGGCUUGGAACCAAUGUUGAAUAAAGCAGGACCCAGACUCUCAAUGCAUGCUCAAGUCCAAGGUAAUCAAAAUUGGGAUUUUACGUAUAAUUUGCAAUGCUGUGAAGGCUGAACCUGAUUCGGUGAGUACUGAAAUGAUUAAAGCUGUUGUGGAAUGUAAUUGGUGUUAAACCUAUGAUAGCACAUGGAUGCAUCAUGGCCAAAUUAAUAGCAUACUUUGCACUGAAUGCUAUCACAGCCACCACAACCACCUCUUUCAAAUCUACCUCGCCUGCCUCAAAAUUACUACUUAUGCCAUUGAUCUGAGUGCUCUGAACAUGUUGUGUAGGACUUUAUUUGAAACUUGAGAAGAAGAAAUUAUAUUAACCCUUAAUUCUAGUGGAUGCGUUGAUGUUGAUAGAAGUUCCAUCAUUCCAUGUAUGUCUAACUUUUAAAGGAAGAAAAUAACUUUAUUUUGGAGGGAGGGGCCAAAUGAGAGAAGGAAGCUGUUCUUGUAUCAACCCAUAUACAGAUUGAUAUGAAGUAGACAAGAGGCCCAACAGAAACAUCAUGUGCAUUAUAGAAAAAUCUAUUCGGUUUGGAAAGUUUGUUUUGCUCUGAUGUGCUUGUGUAUUUUUCAAAUAAUCUUUUCAUUUUGGAGGAUAUACCAGUAUCCCUGUGUUUGUGUUAUUUUUAUAUAACUUAGAGGUUUCAUGGAUUUAUUCAUUACAACUGGUAGAUAUAACCUUAUUUCCGUGUUGGAGAAAUUGGACCGUUUGACCUUGAGUCUUUAACUCUAUGUGAUCUAUCUAUGCUACAAAUUGAAGUAUUACUUGUGUGUGAAAUGUUACCUGCAUGAUUCAAUAUCUUUGCUUGUGGAAAAUAAAAAUGCAGGCAUGAACAUUCAAGUGUCCCGGUUCAUGAAAUAAUAUUUUCCGCUGUUGACAAACCAAAGCUUUUAAGUCAGGUAUGAUGAAAAAGUUAAACUUGCUUUUUAUAAUUAAAAUUUGCAUAUUUGUAAGUUAAUUUCAAACUCCAAAUGUAAAUGAGCUAGAUUUUUCAUCUACACUGCAUUCAAUCCAUGGGUUUAUUUUCCGUUGUUUUAUUGAUUUGUCAUGUAUGUCGAAUUUGUGUAAUGGAAUAGAAGUUUCCCUCAAUAUUUGAAGCUAUUUGAUAACUAGAGAUUUUUUUUAGAAGUUUGGAGUAUCCUGUCAUAUAAAGCAAAGAUAAAAUGAAGCUUAUAGACACUUUUUGAAAGCUUAUGUGGGAUAUUAUACCAAAGUUUUAAUAAAUAGACUUUCUGCAUCAUUGUUUUCUUUAUGCAUCAUUAUUUUCUUGAUAGUGCACGUGAUUUGUUUUCUUGAUAGUGACAAGUGAUUUGUAUUAUUGAAUAUUAUUGUUAAUUUAACACAUCAUUAUUCCUACAUAAUGCAUAAACAUUAGAUAGAAAAGAUCUUGGGGGUGGAUGUUGGGGUUUCCUUUGUGCAAACUUAGCUCUAUUUUGUUACUUUAAUGAAGUAUGAGGUUCUAGUUUGUUAAUGCCCUAAAAUAUAAUUGAUGAAUAGCAUGAUUUCUUUUGACGGAUAUUAUUUCCUAUUGAUGGAUAAUAUGAUUUCUUUGAUGAAUAUUAUUUUCUUUAGCUGUCCGCAUUGCUGUCUGAUAUUGGGCUUAACAUCCGUGAAGCACAUGUAUUUUCCACAACUGAUGGAUACUCCCUUGAUGUUUUUGUGGUGGAUGGAUGGCCACUAGAGGUAUGCUGCUACAUGAAUUUGAUGAUACUUGUUUCCCCUUGAAGACCCUCUGCAAAGUUGUAUCUUUAAAACCAGUCAUUGUUCGUUAAUUUAAAUUUUACAUUGACAUUUGUGUUGUUGCAUGCAUUUGAUAACUCUUCAAGUCAUUAUACAAUUUUGAACUUGGUGGUUAAACCGUUCGACUUUGAUACUGGCAUCUAAGCUUUGUAGAUGGAUUAGGUGCGAACACGAGUUACUCACUAACGUUCAUCUGGAUCAUAAUUACUUAAGGGAAAUACUAACAAGUGCCCUUAGGGCACUUGAUAAUAAGUUUAAAGUGGAAGUUUUAUCUUGGAAGUUGUGUAUUCAACAUAUUGAAACAUUAAAAAGUAACUUUUUCAACAUAAAAUUUAUCAAUUGUUAGCAAGACCCUUACUUAAAAAUAAUUAUUUUAUCAGACUUUUUAAUCUGGGUUAAAAAGUUAAUUGGUUCAAACCAGGGCAUAAGCUUGUAGGCUAUGAGGGAGCACUGUUAUUAUAUUUCUCCUGUGUCGGUGAUCUGUGCUGAGUCCCAUUGUUGCUUACUUUGCAAUCUUGUGCUCAGGAAACUGAUGGUUUGUAUGCUGCUAUGGAAAAAGCUGUAGCAAGGAGUGAGGUGCAUUUUGUCUCCUUGAUCUUGAUUCUGCAAAAUCUUAUAUCUGUUUUGUUUGAAAUGUUGAAUUUUACCUCCGUCAAGAAUGAAUAGAUUAAUGAUUCUUGAUGCUCAUAGGCUUGUAUUUCCUGCAAUAAACUUUCAAAAAAGUAACAACUCUACAAUUUCCUUGGAAAUGGCUUAUGAGUAUAGGAUCCUAGGGGAGGAAAAGUAUUUGGGAUUUUAAAACUGGAUAUAUAGAAAUAGACCACUUACAACAAACUUAACAAAUUCUGGAAAGCUUAUAGCUUGUUUUUGAAAAAUUUAAAAGUAGUAUUGCUGUUUCCCACAGCUCAUGCUCAAUAGGAACCUGUAAAAGCAUUGAAAAAGAUCUUACACUCUUUCCUGCCACCGAAGCUUAUAGGGUGGACACGAUUAUCAAAAGAAGAUGGAGAAACCCUCAAACCAAUGCUCAUACAAGAUGCCAAAAUAUCUAAUACAAAGCGGCCAUGUAACCCCACUGUGUAAAUAAUGGUGUCCGCGGUCAAUCUCCAAAAGUAAAACACAAACAUAGGGAAUAACAGACCUUGUCAAGUGACCUAUGAUUUUGAUACAGAUAACUAAUAUUACUAUUGAUAUCUAUGUCCCAAAAAGACUUAUGUGGAUAAUAUCUCACCGAGUGGCCUCUUCCUCCGGUCGAGUCAUCUUUCGCUUCAAUACCAGGAACUGAGACGGAUUCGGAUGGAGAAGGAUUAAAUAGUUCAUCAUGAGCUGUCCGAAACCCGCGAAAACUCAGUCUUUAGGAAUGUCACACUGUAUUUUACUUAAAAAUCAUUGUACACAAAUCCUCUUCAUAAACUUUAGUUGAUAUAUAUCUUACCCUUUUCUUAAAAUGUAUGCCCGUGAGCUUUAGUAAAUAUUCAGAAAACCCACUCCGUUCAUCAGAAAUCCACUUCAAUUACGGAAAGUGUAAUGCUUAUAUCUGAUGUUAUACUUCAUUUAAAUAACAAUUAAUGCACAGCUUAACUAAAGAAUACGAUUUUCACCAAUGAGUUUACGCAAGCUUGUGGUUUCAUUGCUGCUCUGGUUUAUGCUGGUUUUAAUGAAUAUAGAGAUACAUUUUAAUUUUCUAAUAUCUAUUGAUUAUAGUCUAUGUUUAAUGGUUGAGGAGAAUUUUGUAUUGUUUAGUAAGUAUUUUGCUUUCGCCACAUCUAGGGUGUUAAAAAUUAUGUAAAUAAAUAGUCAUGGUUGAUAGUAUUAGUAUCAUGUAAAUACAGUUAUAGGGUAACAUCAAUAUUUCUAUUUUUGUCAUAAUUUUAUAAUUCAGUAUGCAUAUGAUAUAGCUCUGAUGUGUAAGACACAAUUUCUCUCAUUCUCAACAUGGUAUGAGUCUAUCCUAGAUUUUGUUAUUGAGCCAUGACUUCUGUUAUCCCAGCCGCAUUUUUGUCUACACUUUAGGGCUUUGUUUGCGAGUUUUGAGGGGAAGGGAAGGGAAGGAAGGGAAGGGAGAAAGGAGGGAAAGCCUUCCCCUUGUUUGGGAGUUAAAGAAACCAACAAGGAAAGGAGAUGGAGGGCUUAUGUGAUAAUUUUACUAUUUUACCAUUUUUUCUCUUAAAAUCAAUACAUUGUGUUAUAUUUUGUAAUUUAUCUUGUAAAUUGUAAUUGGAUUUUUGAAUUAUUAUGAGUACAAAAUUGUCAAUUUGUAUGUUUAACCCCCCAAUACCCCCAAUUUGGGGGAACUUUAAAAUUGGACAAAUGAAGCCCUUCAAAACCCCCCAAAACCUUUCCCUAUUUUUUUAAAACUCCCAAACAAGAGUUUACCUCUCCAUAAGCCUUUCCUUCCCUUCCCCUCCCCUCCAAAACCCAACUGUAAACAAAGCCUAGAUGUCCAACCUUCUGCGUAAGAAGGUAUGUUCAGAUCCAUGUUAUGACGUCCACAUUAGUCCAUACUUCAUACCAAGCACGAAGGAUUCAUUCCUCUUUCCCUGCAAGAGGAUGCGUGAACCUUCAAGUCAAGCGCACUAUACCACGGCUUUCUUUGAUAGGGGGUCAAAUGGCAUUUCUUGUUUGGGUCGAGCGAUUCAAAGUCCUAAGCGUGAGGGGCUGUCUGAGAGUCCUACAUCGGCCAGAGAUAUCGUCCAAGGAGUGUUCAUAAGGCUUAGCAGUCGUCACUCAAGAAGGAUUUUUUUGUAGUUACGAGUUUUCUGAGAAACAAAUGUCGUUGCAAAACCAAGUGCAGUCGCAGAAUAUUGAGCCAUGGCAUCAACUAAUUGUCAAUUCAUCUGGCAUAAAUAGUUACUUUAGGAUCUUAGGUUUGGAGAUGCUACACAGAUGACACUCAUCUGUGAAUAAUUAAGUUGUUUUCUUGUUGCCUCAAAUCCAAUAUUUCAUGGCAGGACUAAACAUACUGUGAUAGAUUGUCAAUUUGUCAUUUUAUUAGGGAGAAGAAUUAAUCUGGAGAUAUCACUAGCUUUGUUGGUUCAAAUGAUCAAUUGGCAGAUGUAAUGGAUUCUCUUCAUCAUUUUCUCUUUUCUCAACACUGGAAAAUCACUCUAUUGAAAAAUUAGGACAAUCACACAUUAGCCGAAUUUUAAAGUGAUAUUUUAAAUUUUAUCUAAUAUUUGGGAUUCAGUAAUACUCUUGCUAAGCAUGUAAUAUUGUAAUCAAUACUCUUCCUUUCUUUAGGGGUCAUGGUCUCAUUCUUCAAAUUCUCAUUCAGCUGUGGAGAAAGCCUUAGCAGCAGAAGGAAAAUCUGGAGACUGGGAAAUAGACAGGAGGUCAUUAAAGAUAGGAGAAAAAAUAGCAUCUGGAUCCUGUGGAGAUUUGUAUGUUGGAUUGUUUUGCCAUUAUUUUUUCUAUAUUUUAAUUUUUUUUUCUUUCUAUUCUGCUCUAUAUCAUCAUACUUAUAUUCUUGUGCAUCUAAUUCGCUUUGUAUUUCGGACAGGCAUCAUGGAGUUUAUCUUGGUGAAGAUGUUGCUGUUAAGGUUCUGAAAUCUGAUCAACUGAAUGAUGCCUUAGAGGAUGAGUUUACUCAAGAAAUAGCAAUUUUGAGGUCAGUAUUUUGCUGCUCUUGUUUAAGAAUUAAGACAAUCCUGCAUAUUGCAUAUUUUGUUUUUCUUAUAAAUUCUUUCUUCCGAAAAAUUAUUAAAUAUUUUUAUUCUUGUUUGUUGUACCUAUAAUUUUUUAUACUUUUCCUUACCAAAAAAAAUAUAUAUAUUUUUUUAUACUUUUAAGUAUGUUCUCUUUUUCUUCAAGGGUAAUCCUAAAUUCUAAAUAUUCUAGCAUAAUAUCAAGAUAUUAUAAGAUAUUUUCUUAUAUUCUAACAACUACAUAUUUAAAAAAGGAAAGAGAGAAAUGAAAUAUCAACUCAAGUACCAAGUCUUUAGAAGUGGUUUGGCAUGCUACAUAACUAUCGGUCUUAAUUUUUUCAAGGAAGGAAAAACAGGCCUUGCUCUUUUUCUGGUUCACUAGUGACCUGUACAUUUUGUCAAGAAAGUACCAAGUCUUGAGAAGUGGUUUGGCAUGCUACAAAACUAUCAGUCUUAAUUUUUUCAAGGAAAAAAUAGGCCUUGCUCUUUUUCUGGUUCACAAGUGACUUUUACAUUUUGUUAAGUGUGUAGAUCAUGCCAAUAAACUCUGCUUAGUUAGCUGCUUCCUUACAACUGUUCACUUGGUUAAUCCUUCAAGGAUUGGAUGUCAGUCUAUAUGCUACUAACUCCAUCUCACUAUAAAUGUCUUAUUUGCAAUAUUUCUCUAUCUCAUUAAUUGUCACUUUAGAAUAACGAUACAACAUUUAUUAACAUUUUCCUAAGAAGUGCGCACUACCUUAAAAAGGUGCAUAAUAUGAAACAGAGGAAGUACUUAGUUUAAAUGCUUUUGUUUACAUUAAUUAUAGCCUUGCAAGGAUUCUCACUUUUUCCUUUACCUUUCUCUAACCUGGAAAUAUGUUGACAAUUUGACUUUUGUAUUUCUGAACGCAGACAGGUAGAACAUAAAAAUGUUGUCCGUUUCAUUGGUGCAUGCACAAAGUGUCCACAUUUGUGCAUAGUAACAGGUAUUAGAUUUAUCCAUUUGGUUAUGCUAAUAUAUAGAUGUACAUUAUCCAAUUUAAUGUGUAAUUAGUAAGUUUUACCCUUUAUUGAGAGAUGUCUUGCAUAACUAAACACUAUUAUGACACCCUCCAAGAGGUUCGAAGUUUGAAAUUGAACCCUCUUAUACACGAAAUAGAUUUUAAAAAAAAGAACUUAUGUCCAUACCAUUCUUUGUCUUUUUCAAUAGUAUAAUAAUAAUUGCCAGUAAUUGAUGAAAAACUUUUGUUGGUAGGGCCGCUUAGGUUACUCUACAACAAUAGUUGUAAGGAUACUCUAGUUGGAAACCUGAAAAAAUGGUAUCAUUGGGAGACAAUAAAUUGAUAUGGUUGAGUCAGAAACUUUGAAAUUAAAAUGAACACGGGAAUUGCCAUGGGAGAAGUUCUAUGAAACUUAUUUGAAUUUAAACACCAAUGUAAAAAUUUGAUGAAAUAUCGUAUAAGAUGAGUAAUCAAUCUAUCUAUUCCUCAUUUUAUUCACAAAUGAGAGUCCCUUGAUUAAUUGAAAUAUGAAAUAAAAAUAAAAGCGUAAAAGCAUUAUUUGUAUUCAAACUAUAUUUCAAAACUUUGUAUAUUUUUGCAGAGUAUAUGACUGGGGGAAGUCUGUAUGAUUACUUGCACAAAAAUCAUAAUGUCUUGGAGCUAUCUCAAUUACUCAAGUUUGCAAUUGAUGUCUGCAAAGGAAUGGAGUAUUUGCAUGGAAACAACAUAAUUCACAGGGAUCUGAAGACAGCCAAUUUGCUGAUGGAUGCUCACAACGUAUGAAUUUACUGAAAGUUUGAACUGCUGCUGCUGAUAAAAAAAAUUUUAUUUUUUAUUUUUUUAAGUUUUCUUAUCAUGACUGACGUUUAUUUUUUUUUUUGAGUAGGUUGUUAAAGUGGCAGAUUUUGGAGUUGCCCGGUUCCUAAUUCAGGGGGGAGUGAUGACUGCAGAAACUGGAACCUAUAGAUGGAUGGCUCCAGAGGUUUGCUAAAAAAUUGUUAUGCUUUUUCAUGUUUUAAUAUCAUGUGGAAGUAUUGUGUAAUGUAAAGCCAAUGGUUCUGGUCCAUUACUAGCAACAACUAAACGUUUCUUCUGACGACUAAUUGAGUUUGGGAUCUAGAAUUUUAUUUUACAUUUUCUUGUUGCACACUUCAACAUAAACUGUUAAAGUAUAUGUAGUAUCUUGUGAUAUCAUAGAUAAUUAUGUCAGAGUAUUUGUUUUAAUUAAGGUUUUACAUUGAUUUUACAUGUGAUAUAUUUGGUUUAUUAUGGUUUUACAUUGGGUAUAUUACUGUCAUUGCCUUUUCUCUCAAGGUCAUAAACCACCAGCCUUAUGAUCAAAAGGCAGAUGUCUUCAGUUUUGCAAUAGUCCUAUGGGAACUAGUGACAGCAAAGGUAUAGCCGAAAUUAGACUUGUAGUUCUUUAUUCUCUUAUUUAUCUUCCUUUCCAAUUCUUUGAACCGAUAUUCUUUAUAUAUGUAUAUAUUGUGCAAGAUUCUUGUAAUGAUUUUAUUUUAUUUUCUCCUUUUGGUACUUCAGAUACCAUACGAUACCAUGACUCCACUACAAGCUGCUUUGGGUGUGAGACAGGUUUGUUCUUUAUUUAUUAGUGAGUUUUAUGUUUGAUGUGUAAAAUUGAGAGCUGGCACAAAUUGUUGAGGGGAUACAUUUAAUUAUAGUUAAUGCACAGUAUAAACUCCAAUUAAAGAUGAAUUAAUUUUUUUUCAAGUUUCACAUAAUUGUACCCACUAUAGAUAAAUUCACUUGUAUACAAAAUAAUAACAAACAUGUGUAACAGAUUAUGAAAAAUUAAUGUCAAAUAUAAGAGCAUAAAAAUUAACAUAAAAUAUACAUGUGAUGACUUAUUAUGCCUAAGGAAUUAAAAUUAGUCUGUAACCCUAUAAUUCGGCUUUCUGAAGUGAGCAAUUCAAUUUAAAGAGUAUAAAGUAGGAAGCUCGAUUGUUUGUGAAAAAAUCAACAAUGGUUGAUGUUACGUGCACAUCCAUAAUAAAUCAUGAAUUUGUUAAAAUACUAGCUAUUAAUUUUUUUCUCUUUAAUGGUUGAGAUGUUUUACGUUUUAAAGUGAGAGCUCAAUAUUUUAGGAGCCAUAGUGAUGAAACCUUGAUAGAGAGAGCCUGAUAUCUUAAUUGGUGAGAUGUAUUACUUUAAUCUCUAAUGGUUGAGAUGUCUUACUACUUUACCUCUAAACCUGAGGGUAUAUUGUUUUUUAUUAGUAUUUUUUUUUCAUGAAAAAAAUUUAGGGUGAGGGGAUGGGUGCCCCCCAGUCCAAGGGAAGACCUUAAGGCUAAAAAAACACUCACAAAGAGAUUUACGUUAUCUCCCUGCAAGGGGGCUAGUGGGGCUCGAACAUGGAACCCUUGGAUACAAGAUUUGUUUUUAUUAUAUAAUAUAUCAGUGUCCCAAAAAAAAGCAAUUGGUGAAGAAUUUUGCUACAAACUUAGAUCAAGAAUCAUGUAGGUAGCCGAUUAAUGAUUAUCCAUCAGAUGAGAUGAGAGACAUCGGAUGAGAAUAGGAACCACUAAACUUGCAUGACAGUGAGUAAUCUAGCCCAUCAAAUGCCAUUCACAACAAAUUUCACUCAGUGUCCAUCAAUUGGUCAAGUUCAAUAGUUGAUAAACUUUUUCACAAGUGGUAUAUUUAAUAAUUUAUGAAUUCAAGAGUAUAUUAUGAAUAAUUGAUUAAUGUUAUUCCUAUGUUAUAAAUAAUUGAUGAUUAAUGUUAAUCCACAGAAAUAUAUAUUAUAUAAUGAUACAACAUUGUAUCGAUGUUACCGUGACUGUGUAUAAGUUGCAGUGUUCAACCAGUAGUUUGCACUUUUGUGUCUCUGACCCGGUUGUGAUUUUGUACACCCAUUCAGGGGCUGCGACCAGAACUUCCAAAGAACGGGCACCCUAAACUAUUAGAUUUGAUGCAAAGAUGUUGGGAAGCAAUUCCUAGCAGUCGUCCAUCCUUCAAUGAGAUAAGAGUUGAACUUGAAAAUCUUUUGCUAGAAGUGGAGGUAAACUAUAGUAAAUGUUAUAUUUUAGAAAGAAAAAAAAAAGAGGUUCCAUUUCUUGUUAUUUAAUUUAAUUUCGCUGGUUUCUAUCAAAAAACAAACUUCCCUAGUCUGAUCUUUGUUUUUAACGUGCAAAUUGCAGAAUUAUUCAGAAGUUAAUGGGGCUUAACCUUUCAAGGUCAAACUAUUACAUUCCAGUUAUUUUCAGACGGUUGGGGAGGUCUUUCGCUAUUCAAAUAGCUGUAGAGUUUCUCAUGCUCCCUUUUGCACCGAGGGAAAAAGGACUUCACAAAACUGACCAAUACAGAGUGAGAAAAUGUAAAGAGGCAUACUAAUGUUAUAGUUGACAUAUAACUUAAAUAUAUAUCCCAUGAAAAAUCACGUCCAACUUAACUGUGUAAAGAUAUUUUGAAAAGUGGAAUUUAUUCCAUGCUGUUAUUGAUAUGUUCUUUCAAAUGACGUGAAGUCAAUGAAGUGUAUUUUGUGAGUAAUUUUUCUGUUGAUCAACUAAUGUUUCGUAUUGUAUAUAUUGCACGAGGCGAUGAGCCCGGCUAUCCAAGCUAGUUUAGUGCAAAGUGUUGCUGGUACCAAUGUUUUCCCUAUUAUCAACUCAGUGUUAUUUAUUGUUUGGUUUUACAUUCAGUCUUAAUAUGAAUUUUAAUCGAUAGUGUAAAUAAACAAUAAAUAACCAUUGCAUAGGUAGUAAAAUUCUUUUGAACAAAAGAUGCAACGAUGAAAAGGCUCUCUUGAUGUGCCAAUAAUAGCAUUCUUUCUUCGGCUAUCAUCAAGUGAUAUGCCUCAUAUUGAUGAAUUUAUAUUUAAUAUUUUAAUGGUCUUUGUUUUCAAACGCAUAACUGAUUCAUUGUAUGCAGACCUGGAUUCAAUUAGAUUCCCUAAUCUAGAACUAGGACCUUUACCAGACUUGAUGUCCAUUUACAUUUCAGUAAAUAAGAGAAGCCAUUGAUAUUUUUUUGGCUUGGUAAAUUAUGCAUACAAUGUAUAACAAAUGUACAAGUAUCACUCAAAAUUAAAAUCGAUAUUGUGUUAUUUAUCUUGUUUUUUUUUAAUGGGGGUUAGCAUAUAAUAAAAAAUGUUCAAAACUAGUGUUGUUUUAUUUUUUCAAUAACUAUUUUUUCUCUUCCAUUAAAUUAUUACUAUACAUACUCAUUAUAUUUCAUUUUACAUUUAAGAAAAUGUUGUUUAUCCAGACAAGCACCCUCGUGAAACAUAGUGAAUGAAUGCUAUUGGUUAUUACAAUCACCUCCAUCCCCCGAUUUUCGCUACAACCUGCUUUCAAUUUUGACCAACCUUUAAAAACGGGACACGUGUAUGUCGGGACACUUCGGGAUGAAAGUGCUUGCUACAUAUAGCAGCGCUCAGGGUAACACUUGGGUGACAUUGGCCAAUCACAAAUGCCACAAUGCUUGUGAAAGAGAGAGAAACACAAGCAUUGCGGCAUUGUGAUUGGCCAAUGUCACCAAUGUCACCCAACUCUAUGUCACCCAAAUAUUUUCCUAAUAGGUAAUUGGUCUUGAUAGAGUACUUUGAAUGCAUGUAGAGGUACAUUUAUAAAAAUAAAAAUGACUAACAUCCAAUAGUUAAUGAGGUAAAUGGAAUGAUCUAGGUGUACACGUAAUUAGUCUAGAUAGACUAUUUUGAUAAUCCAUAUAGGAUAUAGUGUUUGCUAUAUCAAAUGUUUGUGCAUAAGACCAACUUAAUACUACGCAGAGAUAGCUGAUUGCAUGCAUAUAUACAAUAGGGAUUGAAUAGAAUUAGGAUGUUGGACCGAUCGAGUGAAUAUAUGAUCUUAUUUUGUUAAAAUUAAGCGUACCUUAUUGUUAUAAAACUGGUUUAUAAUGUAAUGUCUCCUCUUUAAAAACUCUUAUCAAGAGUUAUAACUAUCAAAAGUUGGAGUUGAAUUUUUUCUAGUAUUUUACUAUAUGGUUCAAAUCCAGAGAUAUAAGUAUGUGGAGCCUAUAUAAAGAGCAUAGGUUAUCAUAAUUCAUGCAUCUCCCAUCUUCCUACUCUUUUACUUCCUCGGUUAUAAAAUGAGGGUCAAUUUAGCAAUACAAAUUUAUUUUAAAAUAGAUGUCACUUACACUUUUUAUGUUGAAUUAUUAUUUUACUUUUAUUGCAGCUUUUUUUUUUUGUCAAACUUCUAAUUAAAAUGUACAGUACUUCUAAAGUAUUAUACAAAUAGUAAAUAGAGUUAAUUUAGUAAAAUUGUGAUGUCUAUGACAGCAUAAUUACAUUUUUUUAUUUGUGUGUAGAAAUCUUAAAUGACAUUUAUUAGAGUUCUACUCCCUUCGUCUCAUAAUAUUAGUCGUUUAAAGUUUUUGCACGAUUAUUAUAGAAAUGAUUAAUUAUAUUGAUUUCAAUGAUAAAAUUAGUAGUAUUUACUAAAACACAUUUAUUAAUUGUAGUUAGUGAAGCAGUUAAGUUGGAUGAAAUUCAAUAAAUAAAGGUAUAAUAGUGGAAACAAAUAAUAAAUAUUGCAUUGUAAAGUGACAAUUACUUUGAAGAGAAAAAACAAAAUGUUAAAGAGACAAUAAUUGUGAGACGAAUAAUUGUCUUCUGCAAGUACCUUUCCUCCAAAUAGGUCUACCACCAUGACGGUGGUCAUGCGUCAUUACAGAAAAUCAACCACCAUAGAGGCAUCAACCUCCCGGAGGUUGAAUUUGCUUUAAACAAGAACAUAUAUAGAUACCGAAUUCACGACCAAAUUUGUUUUUACUUGACGAGAUGAAUACUUGCUUGCUUUCGGUCCAGAUACAUAUUGUCCAGAAUCAUUUCAAUCAUUUGAUUUUAUUUGUUAUGUGAUUUCAUUUUUUUCAAAAAAAUAUUGUUGACUCCUACAAAUAUGUAUUGUGCUUAAAGAUCAAUAGUUCAACAAAAAUAAAAAAAAGUAAACUUUCUUCAAAACAAAAAAUAAAGUUAACUUUAAAAGUAAAACAACAAGUCUUGAACCGAAAGUUUGAAUGUUGCUAAUGCCUUUAACAAGAGAUGGAUAUAUAUAUUUGUAAACACUUUUUGAACUCGAAAUCUGUCAUAAAUUAGGGCAUCGUUCCCCCGCUAUGAAUGUACUAAAAAACGAAGUUACUUGUUUUAACAUUUAACUGAUAUUGAAGGCAUUUAUAAUCAUUUAUAAUCACGUAAAGCUAUUAAAAAUAUACUGAAAAUUUCAGCAGAUAUCUAGCUUGAAUAAUUAAACAAAGAAAAACUAUAGUACCCUACAAAGAUUAGCUUAUAUUUGAUUGAAGAGGGCAUAAAUAAAUUUUCUUAUGCAGAUUAUUAUGUUACAGGUAAAACGUUUUUACUACUGAUUAACAUUGAUCAAUCCUCGUUAGAGAACUUAUUGACAUGGGUGGGUUCUUCCAUCAUUAAAUUAUUUUUAUACGCAAAAGUUAAAGAUCAAAUCACAAACCACUUGCUUAAAGGUGUGUUUGUGAGUUAGAUUUUAGACAUAAACGUUUGGAGGGCUAUAAAUAAGUCUAUAUUUUAAAAAAUAUAUUGAUUUUUAAAAAAAAUAAAUUCAAGAACAACUUGAUACAUAAGCAUAUAAUAAGUUUAGCCCCCUAAAAACCAACCGGCAAACACAUACAAAACUCAAAUCUUUUAUCGGUUGGACCAAUCCAUUUUUAGUUUCUUAUACAAUUCUUUUUUUUUACUCAUUGAUGAAAUACUAAUGGUUACACUUGCAUCGAAUUUUAUUAAUUGAAAUAUUAUCCAACCCUUAUAUUUGUACUUCUUUAAUUCUCCUGCAUCCAUUCAACAUUUCAUUGUUUUUUCUAUCUAUCUUAUCUUAUCAUAUUAUUUAUCUAUCAUAUUUAUCGCAUCACUUUCUCUAUUUCUAUCUCUCUCUUGAUGUAUAACGGAUAAUAGAUGUAGAAAAUAUUUUUCUAAUAUUUUUCUAAAUUGUUUAGAAGUCGUUAAUCGAAACAAGUAUCUUUCAUGAUCUUGGUUCAUCUAUAGGAAUAAAAAUUUUCUAUUAUCAUAUUUUGGUGGUUAAGUCCAUUCACCUGUAUGUGUUUGAUUUUUGCCCUCUUGUAUUGGUGGCAGAGUCUAGUUCUUUCAUGUUAGAGUGUUACUUUUCCCACCCUAUGACUUUCCUCGCGCGCCCUAUUUUUUUUCUAAAAAUAACCUCGGAGCAUUCCGGAAUCAACAGAACACAGAACUGAAACAGAUUAGCAUGUCAUUGUGGGUUUUAUCAUUGUUUUUCAAUAAAUCAUUAUACAUAUGUAUAAAAGGCAAUUAACUUAAAUAUUAUAUCAAAAAAUGAUUAUAUAUAUAUAUAUAGACAUACAUACAUGUAUAAAAGGCAAUUAACUUAAAUAUUAUAUCAAAAAAUGAUUAUAUAUAUAUAUAUAUAUAUAUAUAUAUAUAUAUAUAUAUAUAUAUAUAUAUAUAUAUAUAUAUAUCAUUAUACCAAAAAAGAGUUGAAUUUAUAUCAUUACACGUUUAACCUAAUGAUAUACAUUUCAACUAAACCAAUGAUAUAUAUCUCAUCUAUGGCGCCGAAAGAUCAAUGGAGCUAUCAUCAAUCUCAGCCUUCACUCCAGGACCAGGACCAACCCUCUCAUCGGGAUCAAGAUUUUCAAUAAUGUACAAUUCUUCAUCAUCUUCUACAACCGCUUGACCCGCCGCCCGACUUAGCUCAUUAUAAUCUACCAUUCGGGUGGCAUAUCUAUUAGGCCAGCUGUCUGCAUCCUCUCGAUGGUGUCGUCUCCAUAGAUUGCAAGUGGGAGGAAUCGGACAACCAUCCUUCAAAUCCAAUGCCAUAAAAUGGUUGUCAUUCACAUAUGCCAAACACAUCAACGGAGAGAUACUUGGCGGCGGCGGUGGACCACAUAGAGGGAAAUAGGUUGCCGAUGGCCCUAACCCAGUGGACAAGACAACAAUCGGUUGGUUGAAUUUUUGUGCGAUGAGGAAACCCAUAUCCGGCAUGGUCAUCCAUUUAUCACGUGGUGCAUUCCCAAUACCGGCGUAGGAUAGAGCGCCUAAGACCUCUUUAUACCGCCUAUCAUUAUCAAUCAUCGUCCGAUAGCGUGCAUUUUCUACACCGAUAAGCUCUUUGUAAAGGUUGUACCAGACUAAUGUGUGAUCCUCAACAGUCAAGUUAUGUAGGACCGCAACUGCUCGAAACCCACAAUGGCCAUCACCGGGUACAUCUGUAACCUUUUCAAUAAAUUUAUGCAUCCAAAUUAGGAUUUGGUCUUUGUGUGGUAUAUUAACUUUAACCGGUGUUGGCUUGUUCGGGUUUUUUGGAGUUGGCUUAGGAGGAGUAGGUGACAUGUUGCUUUUCCAUGCACUCUUCCUAUUCGUCCCUGUUGAUCUUGUCUGUGAACCUUGUGUCCCUUGCUCCAUGGCAAAGGGGACCACCUUGUCGAUCGAAUGCUUUGCUUAUCUUUCUUAGGAGCUCCUUUGGUGGUGACCUUAUUUGGCGAUGGACGCAUAGAGGUGGUCUCUAGUAAAACAAAUUGCCGGAAUCGUUCCUUCAAAUGCAACUUCAUGUUGUAAUCGGCGUCCUUGAACCGAGCCUGCAAUAUUGUAAGAAAACUGUCAUUCUGGUAUGUGCAUUGAUACAUUUUGGAUUUUAAAAUCCGGAACUCACUUACCUAAUUCAGAAUAUUAAAUCCAGAACUUCCCGAUACACCCUUUGCAUGGGCCUUAAAUGCGCUUGCAUGGGGCGUAAAUGCUACAUUUCGGAUUUUAUAAUCCGUAAGUCAAUAACAUUGUCUGGAGUAUAAAAUCCGGAUUGCACCAGUACAGGAAAUUAAAACAGAAAAUCCUGGGCAGAACCUAAAGUAACACAGUUUUUUUAAAAAAUUACCUGAAGAAUAUCCCAUUCUGGCAAUAGAGAGAUGUCUUCUUUUUUUGGAAGCUUCGGGUCAACCUCGUGCUCGAACCUCAACCUCUUCUAGUGGGUGUGAAUUUCAUCCAAACGGAGGGCGGUUCCGUUUUUUAUCUUCAAACCAAUCAUACAUGCACACAGUAAUCCGUAAGUGAUCAAACUCAAACAACCACAUUUUGAUUUAUCCGUACCAAUUUCAAGUGCUUUAUUGUACUCCACUACGAGAUGAUGUAAAGCUUCCCUUGAAAUUCUCCGGAUCAAAUGAGACCACAACAAUUUUCCUUUGAACCUAUGUUCAAGCAUUAUUAUGCUCGUCUGAAAUGAAGCAUGUAUUGUGGUAUGUUGCAACUCUAGCAUGUUAUUAACGGAUUGCCAGUUUGUACUCAAAUUACCCAUACUACUACUCAGGUACUUUUUCAACCGAGCGAGUGCAGAUUCAACUUUGUUUGUUGUAGUAUUCCCCAUAUGAAGGUUUUUGUCAACCCAAAACCUCACAAACUUCUCCUUAACCAGAUCCAAAAUUGUCUUUUCAACAUAUUCCAAAAAUUAGGUAAAUUUUGCGUAUAGAACUUUGAAUCGGGUCCAAUUAUCAAUAUAUGCUUCCUCCGUGUCGGAGUCCACAAUAUCCGUCCAUGCAGCCAUCACAGUCUUCACCACCGAAGCAGGCUUAAUCGCUUGCCCAUUCUUGCCUUUGAGAUCCGUCACUUUGCAAUCCAAUUUACACUUUGCUCUCACAUUUUGUUCAAUGUGAUAUAGAGCACAACAUAUUUGUAGCUUUAGGGAAAACAUUUUCCACAUCAUUGAUUAAAGCAUUGUCCCGGUCAGUGACAACUACUUUGGGAUAGAGAUCUUUGGAGUGCAACAUCUCACGCCACCUCUCAAGCGCCUAAUAAACAUUGUCUUGCCUCUCAGACAUCAUAUAGGCAAAAUCAAUAGAGAAUGUUUUCAUGGUAGAGUUGUUACCAACAAAAUCAAGCAAUGGAAGACGAUACUUGUUUGUCUUUUAUGUUGAAUCCAAGACAAGCACCAUGGAGAACUUGUUAAACAACUUGAUAGAAUCUGGAUGUGCCCAAAAAACAUCACUGACAACCUCAGAAUCAAGAUACUUCCUACAAUGAUAAACGUAACCAUUAUCAACCAAAGACUUCAAGAGAUGUUGCAUGCCAUUCCUUGUAUCCCUAAUGGACCGCCUAUACCUAUAAGAAGCAUUAUAAACGUGUUUGAUAGUAGUUGAAGUGGUACGGUUCAUCUUCUUUAAGUUGGUAAACAUUUGCCUCGGAGGAACGUUUGAAUCCACCAUCUCUUCAAGGUGAACACGUUCAUUUGGGUUUAGAUGACCGACGGUUUUAUGACCUUUCAGCACAUCUGUCAUGUCAUGGUUGUGUUUGCCAUCACCAACUUUGAGGCUCCAUUCACCACCAGCCAACAAGUAACCUCUCAGCCGAAACGGACACUCGCGUUUAACCGAACCAACUAUCUGGCGCCGACUCUUUCUCUUGUACUCGGUGUAUGAACCUCCCCUUUCACAUAUCAAAGUAACAAAUGCGCUUCUUCCAUUGCCACUGUUAUCGGAUUUACCAAUAACAAUGGAAAAACCAAGCUUCCUAGCUUUCUCUCCAACCCACUUCAACAAAUCAUUCCGUGUUGCAAACUUGUGUUUAGUGGUAAAAUGUUCUCGUUGGUUGAUACAAACAGCAACAAUUGGAGGUGGUACAACAGGAGGAAUAGGAGGAGGAGCAUCCUCUGCUUUCGAACCACCUAGAGAAAUUUCAAGUUUUUGUGGUGGUGGUGGGGGAUUCUCAGAUAUGGCAUUACCGUAAUCAUGCACAUCUUCAAGUAAAAUAAGUGGCAACACAUUAGGAGGUUGAAUCUCAUGUGGAUCAACAUUUGGGGCAUCAACCGGAACAACCAUAUCUGAAAACAAUGCAGGCAUAGUCAGAAAAUGAACACAGUUUUUGUACUGGUGCAGUCCUAAUUUCUAACUCCGGAAUGCAUGAAUCUAGUCCAGAUUGCAUAGUCCGGAAAGGUACAGUACAGAUCAUAUGACGUGAUCAAAAGGAAAUCGCCUAAAAAACGAAUGGGGAAAGGUUUAUAUACACAUUACCUUUGCAUUCAACCGAAAAUGAUGAUGUUAACCCCCCUUGAUGGCCAGAUUGCUGCUCCAAACCAUAUUUUCGCCCUAAAUGGUGUGUUUUUGGAGGUGUUGGGAGUGUUUGUGAUAAAGGUGGUCUGCUUCAGCUAGGUUCUAGAGAACUAUAUAUAACCUAGCUGUCCGGAUUUUAUUUUCCGGAAAAAAAAAAACGACUACUUUUCCCGCUCAAUUUAAAUGUGCGGAAUUUCUAUUCCGGAAAGUAACCAUUGUGUCCGGAUUAUGUUUUCCGAAUAGCCUUUCACCCUCACCAAGCCCAAGUAUCACAUGAAUCAGGGUAAUUUGCUAGCCAUUUUGGAUUAUAGGAUCCGAUUUUUGUCCGGAUUAUACAAUCCGGACAAAGGGUAUUUUGGUCAAAAUUACAGGACGCGCGAGAAGGCUGUAGGGUGGGAAAAGAAACACUCUUCAUGUUAUUUUACAUAUGAGGCUGGUUGUUGCACCAAGUGGACUUGUAGUUAAAAUAGGUGCCCGUUUGAUAUCAAAGAUGAAUCAUGAUGCUGCAACUGUAAGAGUAAAAUUUUGGUCGUUUUGUGUUGUAGGGAUUGGACAUGUUACUAUCUAGUUUGUAAUGUGGAGACAAUGUGUAUAAUACUUACUCUCUCCUUCUUUUACUUUUUUACGUUUCUCUCUUUCUAGUGGUCUAAUAGCAAGGACUAUCACAAUAUUGAACACGUGCAUAGAGAGUGCCUCUCACAUUUAUUGAUCAACUAGGACAAUGUCAAAUGGUUUGAUGAUUUGUAUUCAAUGUCGUGUUAGGUUUCCUUAUUCAUGGCCACCAAAAAAGGGUUUAGGACUUGAGAGGGUGUCGUAGCAAUUUUUGGUGGAGAAAUUAUAUUUGUACAUCUAUUUUGGUACAAUUUUUGUACAACUUUCUCACAUAUGCUCACAUUAUAUUUUUAUUCUCUCUCUUUCUUUAUCUCUCUCUAUUGUUUUUGACCAAUAAAAAGAGAGAACAAAACAAAGUUGUCUCAAAGGUUGUACCAAAAUGAUUGUUAAAAUAUUACUACUCAUAUAUAAGUGGACGAGAAAGUAGUUUAUCAUAUCCCUCCCAAAAUUUACAUUCGGUUUUUGUGAGGCACUUUUUUAUAUAAAAAAAAUAAAAUAAAAAAUAAAAAAAUAAAAAAUAAAGUAUAGGUUAAGUACCAUGAUGGAGCUUAAUAUAAAUUGUGUAUAUUUUUCAAACUUUUGUAUUUACCAUGUCUUGUAUUAAGUAACGGCUUAAAAGAGCAUCGCAUGAUUUACGACCCGUAAACAUAUGUAUCUUUUAGUAAUACACAUUUUACAUCCAUUAACUCGUGUUAAAUAGCAAAUCUAAUGGUUGCAACUCAUUGACAGCUUUGUAAUUUUUAUCCUCGUGGUAAAUAGUAUUGCCCUAAGUAAAGAAACAAUGGAAAAUGUUAUUUUUCUAGAAAAAUAGUAUCAAGAAUUUUUCAAGAUAUAGUUGGCAAGUUUUAAUUGUAUGAUUUAUUUUUUUAUUUUUUAUUUUUCAGCCACAUCUCGUUGAAUUGUGGCAAAUAAUGCAUUGUGAUUGACUGCUCUUUAUAUUCUUGAUGUUAUUUUUCUAGAGAGACAAAAUUUCUAUACUAUUUAUCAUAAAUUUAACUUUCAACCGUGUAGUAGAAAUAUUUUGAUUAUAAUUUGCUUUGUCUAUAUUUAUUUAUUUAUUGUUUUAUGUUGUAAGCACCAAUAAUUAUUGUUGUAUUCCAUUUUCAAAUAAGUCCUUGUAAUUUAAAAAUAUUUAUUUCUUUCAAAGUAUUUAUUUCAAUUUUUAUGAAUAAUUUGUUAACUAUUUAUCAAGUUAUACACUAUAAAAACUCAUGAAUUUUGAAUUUAUAAUAAUAGUUUGAAAGGCAACAUAAUCAAAUUAAUUUUUUGUUACUAUUAAUCUACUAGUUGCCAACAUAUAUUCAAAUAAACACACGUGGAAAAUAAGGUGGUUCGAGUACACAUAAAUUAUCCUCAAGAACAAGUCACUAGACUGUAAAAACGAUAAUAGAUAUAUAAAUCUAACACAAGUGAACGGUAAUUUGAUCAAAUAAAUAUUUAAAAAUUAUUAUAGCGAUUCUACUCAACACUUUUACAUUUAAAAAUACCGAUUGAAAAGUCAAUUUAAAUCUUUUUAUUGAAACUUCAAUAAAAAUAUAAGGAUUUACAGUAAAUAAAAAACGGUCCCUUGUAAUUUAAGAGAUUUGAAGUUAAUCUUUUAAGUUCAAAUCUAUUAUUUUGAAAAUAAAAAAUGAAAAAUUAAUUUAUUUUUGUCUUAUUAAAAUGGGUCCUUCUAAAUUAAAAAUCUAUAUUGAUCCUGGCUGCUGGACACUUGGAAGACCAAACAAAUAAUGUAAGGGUAGGUGAUACACAAUAAAAAAAAAAAAUUAAAAUGAGUUCUUAACACGUAUCAUGAUUGUUUGGUGAAAAGGGUCCCAUACAUGUUGUAGACUUUGUAGCAGGUUCAUUUUCUUAAAUCAUAUCAUGUCUUGUUUCCCUUUUCCUUUCAGUUUUCAUUGUUUAAUUUUUUCAAACAACAAAAUUUGACAUUAACAUUUCAUUGAAUCAAGAAUAUUGCAUUUAAAUCUUUUACGAGUAUAUUAAGAAAUAUAAUUCAAUUAUCUAUGACGAGUUAUAAUCUGUAGUAUAUUAUAUAAAAGUGAGAGAAACAUAUAUUUUGAUGAAGUAGUGUGUCACUUUUAUAAGAUUGUUCUUAAAUCAUCUCUAAAAAGAUUUAGUUUGCAAGAUCUGAUUGAAUUCGUGUGAAAAAGAAAAUUUCACAUGUAGACAAAUUAAAUUUUUUCUUUUUUUGCUUUCGCAUUAAUUUUCGACCCACCAAAAAUGGACGACUAAUCUGACUCAUGCAUAAAGGCAUGCGCACUAGUCAAACGUUGUUCUUUCUAAAAAUCGGACCGAUGUUUUCCAAUACGUCUUUGGAAUGAGCUCCUUACCAUUAAAACUCAAACAACUUAUUUAACAAAAGAAGAAAAUGAUAGUCUAAUUAAAGCAUAAUGUAAUUAAAGCAUCUAAAGAUAAUGGAAAAAUGUGCAUAUAAAAAUGUGUUAGUAGCAGUAACUUCUUUUUACGUACCUAGGGAAUCAAACACAAAAAUCCCGUGUCGGCAACAAUUUUUUUUUUUUUUUAAUGUCAGUAAAGUUGUUUGAAUAUUCAAACUAUAAGACAAAUUCUCUAUAGAAUUUUAAAUGAAUUUAAAAGUAAGUCGGCAAAUUGGUCACCAGCAUCCAAAUUGAAGAAUUAAGGAAUAUAUAUAUAUACUAUUAAUAGUAUUACUAUAUGGGUAUAAGCUAAAUGCAAGAAUUAAGGAAUGUAUGUAUGCAUGUAUAUUCGAGCUAGACAGCUUAUCUCAAUGUGUAAGUGAGGUCAAUUAGAGUAGACAACCAAAUCUUGUUUUUUAUUUAGUAUCAUAUAGUACUAAUUGAUUAGUAACAUUAUUUUAAAAGAAAUUGUUUGGUCUACAUAUAAAUCAAUAUAUACUUAUUCUAUGAUGUAGCCACUUUUUUAACUCAAUAUAAUGUAACAACUUGAGCUAUAUAUAUCUUACUUUUGCCCCAUCUUUCAUUAGUAUGCCUCACCAGCAUCUGAAAUCAUAUGAUAUAAAUUACUCUUGCGUACAUGCACCAAAAAGAUGCUUCCAUGAAUUCCUCCAUGAUUUCUGCAGGUUGAUUUGAGCAUAAAAAGUGUGAAAGAAACCUAAUCUACCUACCCCGGUUUCAUAUUAAGUGAUUUAAUAUACAGAAUUUACGUGUUUGUCUUUCCGCUUUUUUUUUAUUGCACUAACGUGUAGAUUAUCAACGAUGUUUUAUAAAAUUUUGUUUGUAAAUUACAAAUGAUAUUAUAUAUAUAUAUAUAUAUAUAUUAAAGUAUAGAUAAAGAUAUCUGUAAACUACAAAUUUAACAAACUCAAACCAUACUUAUCUUUUUUAAUGACAACAAUAAUAUAACAAAUAAAAUAAAAAUUCUUAUCUUUUUUAAUAACACCAACAAUAUAACAACUAAUAUAUUUUGAUCAUAUUUUCUUUUUUGAUAGAUAAGCGGUAUUAAUGUAAAGAAAAAUAGUAACAUAUAAUAUGUUGGAUUUGUAACUAAAUAUUGUUAAAAUGUCAAUUUUCUAUAACUUUUACUAAUAAAAAAACUAAAAAAAAUAUUAAAUAUCAAAAUUGUGUAUUAGCAUGUAUAAAACAACCAACACUACAAGAAAAACUGCAUUUUGCGACUUUUAAAAUGGCUGAUUGCGACUGUUAGAAGGAUCGCAAAUGUACAAUUGCGACUGUUUUCCAACAGUCGCAGAUGUUGGGGUCGCAAGUGUCUUUUGCGACCCUUCAUAGAACAGCCGCACCAACCGCCGCAAAAGCCACUGCGACAGUUGCCAACAGUCGCAAAUGACGAGAUUCACAUGGAUUUCAAGGGACUUGCAACGGAUGCUAACUGUCGCAAAUGUCUAAUUUAAAAUUUAUAAUUUAAUAUGCUGCGACUGUUUGAACAGUCGCAUAUGUAUAAUUUUUUUUUAAAAAAAGUCACAAUCUCAAAAUAUAAUUUAAUAUGCCCUGAUUUAAAAAAAUUUCGACACUAUUUAAUAUGAGAUGGUGGAAGUAGUUUGGUUUAUUUGAGUUCGACACUAUUUUUUGUGGUGGUCGGGGUUUGAAAUCCGAACCUUGCAUAUUUUAUCUAUUGUCCAUACCAACUGAGCUAAGCUCUCUUCAUACUAUGAUUUACCUCUUUUCAACAUUAUUGGUUAUCUUUAAAAAAGAAAAAACAUUAUUGGAUAAAGUGUUGUUUGCUUGGAAGAACAAAUUUUGGUCUGGGAUAUCUUAAAAUUCUAAAAGAAUAUCCACACCCAAAAGCUUGAUUUGAAAGGCAACUAUUUGGCCAAUGUUAGGCUCUGUUUGAUAAAAAUAGCGAAUAAUUGAUAAGCUAGCUUUUAGCUGAUAGCUUAUAACUGAUGACUGAUAGCUGAUAAGCUAACUGAAGUGUUUGGUAAAAAUAGUGGUUCAACUAUCUGAUAAAUGUAAAAUGAUAUAAAGGGUAUUCUUAAUUCAUAAUAAAAAUUAUAUCAAUUAAUAUUUAAGUAUUAGUAAUUUUGUAAACUAAUUUUUCUUUAAAAAAAAAUACUUUAAAUUUAUUAAUUUAAUAUAUCCUAUGUAUUAUAAAUUAAAUUAAAUUUUAUUCCCUAAAAUUUUAUCCUAUAUUUAUUAUCAUUUAAGUGUUUCCACUUUAUAAAGAACAUAACACUUACCUCAAAAAAAAAAAAAAAAAAAAGUUAACACUAAUAGAGUAAUACUAAUGAAGUAACACUAACAGAGAAUAAAGAAAAUAACACUUACCUCAAAAAAAUAAAAAUAAAAAGUAACACUAAUAGAGUAAUAGUAUUUUGUUCCGUAAAAAAAACGAAGGUAUAUAUUUUUUCAAAACAAAAAAAAAGGUCAUAUAAAAAAGUUGCAAUAAAUGGAUAGUAGUAUUUAUUACGUAGCUUAUUAUAAUAAAUUGUAAUCGAAUUUAAAUGAAAUAAUAAGGGUAAAAUUGAAAGAAAAAGUGAGAAGUUAUAAGCUUAAACGCUACUUGAAAUAGCGUCUGAAAAAUAGUUUAUAAGCUCGUAAAAUAAGCUAUAAGCUCGUGGUGAAAAGACAUUACCAAACAGAGCUUUUUUUGCCAAACAAGCUUAUAAGCUAUAAGCUAUGAGCUCAUUUUUGGGUCUUACCAAAUAGACCCUAAACCUAAUUAAUUUUUUUGGUCUUGUUAACGAGUGUCCCCGGGACACUUUUUAAGGAUUCCAAAAAAAUAUAUUAUUUUAUAAAAAAGUUAAAUAUUCCGAUUUCUGAUGCAAUGAUUACACACAUUUUCAUGAUAAAUUACCAUUUAAAGCUCUUAACUAGUGCCUCGGGGCAGUGGUUAACAUUUCCUUUUUUUUUAGUGUAUCAUACAUGUUAGAGUAAAUGGUCACUUUGAUCCUUGACUUUGCAUCUCGUUGUCACAAAGAUCUCUAACUCAGGAUUAAAUAUAAAGUAGUUUAUGAAUAUGCACUUCCGUUAUCAUUUUAGUCUCUGUCUUUAAAUAAUUUUGUUCAUUGAUGUUGUGGCAAAGGUUUUAUGCUAACAAGGGGUACAAUGUGUCACAUGAACUAAAAUGAAAGUAGAAAAUUGUCACUUUGCUCCCUGAACUGAAAAUCAAUAUCCCUGAAAAUUAAUAUCCCUGAACCGGAAAUUAAUAUCCCCAAACUCGUACCAACUAAGUGUUGCUCUUUGUCAAGAACCAAAUCAUCUUCCUCGAUGAAGUUGUUCCGUGGUUGCAGAAGACUCGUUGUUAGGUCCCUAUGAAUACUUACUAUAAGUUAGGUUCUUGACAGCAAACACUUACUGUCACUAAGAUCCCUGAUAGUAAAACUUAUAGACACAAAGUAAGCCUACUAUGAUCCUAAUUUAUAUCAAUUUAUCAAUUUUAUCAAUAUGAAAAAUUGUUUCAAGCUUUUAGAUCUGGUUAUGAAUCACAUUUUCCCAAAUUUUGUAUUUGUAUAUCUUGAAUUCCUUCAUAGUUUCUUCUUUUUAAUCUCGAUGUUAACUUCAAAUUAUACUAUUUCAUUUUAUAAGAAAGAUUAUUAGCUUCAAGAAUACCAAUUCAACCAAACUUCAAUUGAUUAUUUAUAAAUGGGUUUUGUUAGAAGACACCUUUUAUGAAGGUGUCUUUUAGCAAGUUAUUCUAUUAGCAAUUGGUAAAAGACAUCAACUAAUUUUUAUGAGGUGUCUUUUAACAAAGUUAUAACUAAAAAGUGAAAAUCACACCUUAAGGUGUGAGUUGCUAAAAGACACCUUCAUAGAUUGCUUCUAGCAUAACCCUUUACAAAUAUUGUCCUAACAUAUUUAUUUGAGCAUGUGCAUUUUUGCGGUAUGAUUCCUUAACAGAAACUUAAGCCACUUGAUUCGGUAUUUGUUUUUAUAUUAGCUAUUAUAAUAAUCACCGAUAUAACUUCAAACUUGUUGUCACAUUUCAGCUCAUAUUUUGCCUUUGUUGUCACAUUUUUAGGUAUGGUGUGUGUUCAUGGAAUAAGGUAUAGUCAUUGCAUAGAAGCAUGAUAAAUUGUUAUAUGCGUGGAAUAACAACCAUUGUGUGGAAGCAUGAAAAAUAUUGUGUAUCUGUAAGUGUUUACUAUUAGGGACUUUAGUGACGGUAAGUGUUUAUUGUCAAGGACCUAACUGAUAGUAAGUAUACACAGUUAGAGAUCUAACAACAAGUCUCCCGCAACCAUAGAACAACUUCAUCGAAGAAGAUGACCAAGUUCCUCAAGAACAACACUUUGUUGGAACGAGUUUGGAGAUAUUGAUUUUCGGUUCAAGAACCAAAGUGACAAUUUUCUACUUUCACUUUAGUCAGUGUGACACCUCAUAUACCCUUUGUCAGCAUAAGACUUUUGUCACGUCAUCUUUUAAUAAAAUUAUUUAACGUCAGAGACUAAAGUGAUAAUGGAAGUGCACAUUCAGGGAUUACAUCGACCUUUGUGAAUGUGAGGUGUAGAGUUAGGGACCAAAGUGACCAUUUACUCUACAUUUUAUUCUAGACUAAUUUUAAUGUAAAACUUUAAAAAAAAAGUUUAUGGAUUUAAUAAAAUAGCAUUUUUGUGGAGAAAAAAAAUUAGGAUGAACUUUAAUAGAAAUGCCGGUAAUUUAAUUCACCUUUGGACGCUUUCAAGGCCGUAUCUGAGACAAUGCGAGAAGGGCGACCGUUCUCGACCCUAAAAAGUAAAUUUAAAAUUUGGGCCCUAAAACAUAAAAUGAAGGAUUCAUUAAGUAGAAAAAUAUUAGAGAAUGCUUAAAUCAUAUACAUUUUAAUCGAAAAAUGACAUAUUAGAAAAUUGAAUAUCAUAUUUUCUAACGUAAUAAAAUAUAAUUUUCAAAAAAAUUAUUUUCACACUUCAAAAAUUCAAUUUUUUUAUACUAAUUAGGUAGGGCCCAUAUUAUAAGUUCGCCCGUAGACCACCAGAAAUGGCAUUGGACGCUUUAUUCUUUGAUAGAAAACAAGUUAGCAUGUAACAUCAAGUAAUUCAACUGAAGCUAUAUUAAUAAAAUUUGUUAAAAUUCGAAUCAACCGAGAAUGCUUGAUCGGCUCGACCAUUAACUUGAAUAAUGUUUAUAAGCCUUUAUUUACUUUUUAGCGAAGCUUUAGAUUAUAAGUGUUCAUUUACUCUCUGAGUUGAAGAUUAAUGUAUAAUAAUUGAAAAAGAAGCAAGUAAAAAACAGUUCUUAUGACCAUAUGAUAUGAUAAUUUCAUACAAAUAUUGAUUAUAUUAAUUUAAUAAAAAGUAAAUCUUAACUAACUUUACAAUUUUAAUUUUAUUAUAUGAAGUAAAAGUAACAAAAAAAAAAGAUCGUAAUCAAUGAGUCUCUAACUUGUCUAUUUAUUUAUUCUGCAAACUACUAUUUUAUUAAUAGAAAAGGAAAUUAGCCCUACAAAAAACUUGUGAGUUUUUCUACUUGCACCCUAGUUAAUCAUGGUUGCACCCCAAAAUGAUAAGAUUACCCUUUCAUAAAAUUUGAUUUUCAAAAAGCCUAUUCCUUCUUUUUUGGUUACACCCCAAAACCCUUCUUCCAAAACCAUAAUUCUCUAAUCGAUCGAUUGUGUUCUGCGAAGAUUUUCAAAACCAUACUUUCUCACGUCCAUUCAUGAUUUCAAAGAAAAUUCGAAGCAAAUCAGGUUAGCAAGUGUUGUUCUUCAAUCGAUUGUGUUUUUCUUGUUAUGGGUUCUCAGUUCUGAUUUUGUGUUUUCCUUGUUUUGCGAUUCACAGUUCUGCGAUUUUGUAAAAAAUCAGUUUGAGUAGGUUCAUGUAAACUCAGUUUAAGUAGGUUCAUAUAAACUCAGUUUAAGUAGGUUCAUGUAAACUCAGUUUAAGUAGGUUCAUGUUAACUCAGUUUAAGUAGGUUCAUGUAAACUCAGUUUAAGUUUACAUGAACCUACUUAAACUGAAUUUAAGUUAACCUUGCCAAUGUAAAUUAAAACCGUAAUCGUACAGUGCAUCAUUGCAGUUGAAGGAAAAAAAAUUGAAACUAGCAAAUAGAAGAAGAAAUUCACUUACUUAUAUCCAAUUGAGUAUGGAUGAAAAAUAUUUUAAUUCACUCUUUAAUUUUUAUGGAGAUUGAUAUUGAACAUCAAAUUGUUUGAUCGAUCGCUUUGUGGGGUGAAAGAGGGUGAAACUCACUGACAAUGAAUAAAAUUAGGGUUUUAAAAAAAUUUAUAUAAAAGGGCAAUUUUGAUAUUAUAAAAAAAAUUUAAGAAAAUUUGGGUGUAACCAGAAAAACAUGGGAUGUAAAUAGAAAAACUCAAAACUUAUUCGUUUAUUUUUUAUUUUUUUUAUUUAGCUACAUUUUAAUAAUAUCCAUCAUAAUUUUGCCAAAAAAGGGACUCAUGAAAAGGAAAUUUGAGAACAAAAGACAAAUCCAAAUCUCAACAUCCCAAAGUCCACCAACCCCAUAUGGGUCAAGUGGCAACUUAACAGAAGGAUGCGUUAGGUUGUAGGGUCUUUGCCAUGUUUCAAUAAUGUUUGUGAUAAUAUGUGUCCAAAGAUGUUAGGAAAAUCAGAGAAGCGACAAGAUUGCCACAAUUUUAAUUUCAAUAAAUGUUUUGCUAUCGAGUGUUGGUGUAUUUUUUAAAUAUUUAAAAUUAAGAAAAAUAUAUAUAUUUUUUAAAUUAAAUACUUUAAUUUAUAAUGUAUUGAAUAUACGAUUUAAAAAGAACUUCCUUUUUAAACUUCUUUAAAAAAUAUUAUAGAAAUACUCGUUAAUAUUUACCUUUCAAUUUCAAUAAUAGAAAAAGACAUACUAAUAAUGAGGCCACGAAUUCUCACUUGAAUUUAAGCUUUUGAGAUAUGAAUUAAUUUUACAUAUGUAGUAAUGUAUUAUAAUCAUUAAGUUCGAUGGCUAUCUAGGAGGAAACAACAUAUUCACUUUAUAUUUAAAAAAAUGAUAUUUGUACAUUUAUUUUAUAAUAAUUUUUGUGACAACUUUCUCUCUCAUAUUCACGUUAUAUUUUUACUUUAUUUCUUUAUUGUUUUGGUUUUCGUACCAAUACAUACAUUUCUUUGUAAAAAUAUGAUUGUCACAUAGGUUGUAAAAAAAAAAUAGAUGUUCAAAUAACACAACUCUUAUAUUUAAGCUUUUGAGAUAGAGUGAAAAUAAUAUGGAAAAUUAUCUUUAUACAUCUAUGUUCAAUCUACACUAUGAAAGAGAUCGAUAGAAAAAGAAUGGUGUAAUAUGAUAAGAGAUAUAGAGAGAAAAUGAGAUUAAAAUGAGUGUUUGAGAAUUAUAAGUGUACAAAUUUAAGGGAUUUCAAGGACUUCAACAUACUGUAUGUAUAUACUUGAUAUUAUUGCAAUUAUUAUGGUUGAUCAAUGUCAUCAAUAUUACCAACCAAAAUGUUAUCUUAAGUGCUAGCUCUAGUAUCAUGUUAAUAAACUUCCACUACUAGUUCACAUACUGUAUUUUCCAACAUAUGGUGACUUGUGGAAUUAAAUGGACUCGGAUGCUAUUUUAAAUUUAUGUCAAAUCUAACUCAUUUCUUACGAAAUUAAUUUGAAAGAUUAAAGUGAUCUUACAUGUAAACUCAUUUUCAAUGAGACUCUACAAAACUAAACAUGGAGGUGUCAAACUCAAGUAAGACUUGUAGGUGUGAUUAUCAUUUUGUAGAAAUUAAUUCCCAUGCCAGCUAAAAGUCAUUUGAACAUCAUCUCAGGAUAUAAAUUAAUUAUGAAUGGCCUGCCGAUAAUGACUUUGAUUAAUUAUAACACUCAUAGCGACUUAUGUAUCAAAUCAUUCAUUCAAUUCAAUUUAAAAACAUGGAGAAAAUUAUAUUCUUUUAUGGAACAAAAAUAAUGUUUAUGGAGCUAAGAUAGCAUUUCACGAGUUUCCCACAUUCCCUGUCGGGUUUCUAGCAACCACCCUUUUGAUUUGUGACCGCCAAAUUUUGAACAACAAGAAGAUGAAAAUAAUUUGGUCAACAAAAAAAAAAAGAAAUUAAUAAAAAGUUUAUUUGUAAAAAUUAAAUUAUAUAAGCCCGUACACAAAUUAAAAAAAAAAAAAAUAAAAAAAAAAACAAUUCAAUGGCUGAGAGAAGGAGAGAAUGUUUGACAGAUAUUUAUUUAAUUUUUUAUGAUUAUUUUAGUCUCUCAAGAUCAUCCUAUAUUGUAAACAAAAUCAUAUAGUCCUAUCUUCUCAUUUUUAUCAAAAAAUAAAAAAGUUUAAAACUUUCGAUUUGAUAAAAUCAUUUUUGAAGUUCAAAAGUUUUUUAUGUAGUAAAAUUAUAUUUUAAUUAAUAAAACUUUUUUUUUUGAAAGAAAUUAAUAAAACUUAAUUGCUUUAUAAAAUGUGAUAUUAAAAUUUGAAGAGUUCAAUUUUUAUUACUUGUUGUGAAUUAUUUUAUAUAAAAGUUCCACAAUUUUUUUUUUUUAAAAAAACCACAAUUUUUUUUUUUUUUAUAAUGAAGAUUUCCAACUUUUAAUUAAAUGAGAAGUUCCAAUCCCCAUAAGCUUAACUCAGAUAGUAUAGAUAAUGUAUGUUAUAUGCAAGGUUCAAGGUUCAAACCACGACCACCAAAAAAAAAAAAAAACAGAGAAGUUCCACGUAUCUAUUUUACAUUAUCAGUCCUUAAAUAAUACUUUGUUUUAUUAUAUAAUCUUGGAUGGGAUUUAGUUUAGUUGAAGUUCAGUAUUAAUCAUAAGCAUGCAAGGCGGUUCCCGAUAAUUUAGAGGUCCAAUUGUAAUUUUGAUAAUUUUUGUUUAAAAAGAAUUGAUAAAAAAAAAAUCCAUCAUCAUUUAUAAUGAUAAAUAAUUAAGUUGUAGUUAAAUACAUGAGUAUAUGUUCAAACAUGACUUUUACUUACAGACAAUCAAACACUUACAUAUGAGCAAUGAAUACUUGAUGGCAAAAUUGUUGUCUUUCAGACUUUCAUCUCCGAAAAAUGAGAUUUAUUGACUAAUUUUGUCCGUAAGUAAAAGUGUUGUUUUUUAUUUUACUCACCCUGAAAAUUGUACCCCAUCCCUACAAAUAUUUGAGACCUCUGUAAAUUAGAGGUUCGACUUCAUAGAGCUCCUUGCUCUUGUCCAAGAACGAGCAUGUAAGCAUGAAGAGGCAUAUAUGUUUAUUUUAUCAUAUAUAAUUAUAUAUUUAUAAAAAUAAGUUUGUAAAUAGUUGGAGGGUAUCGAGUCAAUAAAGGUUGAAGUCAAUGCUCAUUUUAUAGACAAAACUAUCUCUAUAGGUCAAAACAAAAUGACCUACAACUUAUUUGCAUGAGUUAUGUUCUGUGUUAUUUUCCCUCGUUGAGGUCCCUACAUUUGAUUGACAACUUCCCACUUUAUGUCAUGAUCCGUUGACAAGAACUAUAAUAUGCAUCUUUUCUUAAAAACAUGCUAACUUACUCACGCUAUUUACGAUUAGCGACGCUAUAAAAAGAAAGUAUGAGUUUAACGUCGCAUUGUCAAAUUCUACCGAGCAUUUAUACAAUACGAUGUCUUCCAGACUCACAUGUUAGUUAGUUGACUCGAGAAAAAUUUGAAUAACCUCAUUCGACUGCAAUAACACUCUCGCUUAAUCUUUCACUAAUUGAGGAAACUCAUCAAACUUUUAAUCUCAUAUAAGCAAUUUCGAUUAGCAAAGUAAUAACUUUGGGAUCUUUAAUUUGUGCUCUUAAAAAACUAUUACAUUUUUUAUGAAAGAUAUUAACAUUCUUCAUAAAAGAUAUGUUGUUUAUUAUUCAUGAAUAUUUCGGGUUGGUUCCACAUUCUCACUCUAAAAAUGUACUCCAAAAUUCUACAAAUGUACUCCAAAGUUCUACUCUAGUUGGUAAAUAACAGAAUAUAAUUUAUCACCGACACCGAUACCGCUUGCUUCUCUUUCAUUCAACAUAUUCAACAUCUUGAGAAUUUGACAUAUAUGCAUUGAUUGAGAAACACAAUAAUUUAUUCAAAUGCUCACAGUUAACUGCUGAAUUAUGGAACCGGUUACAAUUAACUACCGGAGGAAAACUUCGGCAGUAAACUACCGAGAAAAACUAAAAACUUCGGCAGUUAACUGCCGAUGACACCUCAAACAUGUUUUUCUUUUGUUGACAAAAACCAUAAAUUGUCAUUAAUAAUAUUUAUUGAUUUCGAAUGUUUCAAUCAUUAUUUUAGUACGUUUCAAACAAUUGCAAUAUUAUAUUUAUGCGUAUAUAUUUUAAUAAGAAUAACAUUAAAUCAGUGUAAAAAUUAAGCAUUUGAAUAUUGUUUUGCACAUUACUUAAAUAAAAAUAAUAAUAAAAAAAUCGUUAAAAUAAUUGUGCACAACGAUUUUUUUAAAGUAUAAUAUGUUGUUAUAUUUUCUACAUUAAAAUAAUUCUGCACAAAUAUUUUUUUUUUAUUUAAGUAAUUUGCAAAACAAUAUUCAAAUGCUUAAUUUUUACGUUUAUUAAAAUAUAUUUUGAGUAAUGCUCUUUAUAUUUUUCAAGACAAAUAUAACAACACCUUUACAUUGGCUUGGUAAGAAAACAGAGGUAAGUUAUGUCACAUCAAAAAAUAUCCUAUACUUGGUGUGUUACUAACCAGACUCACAUGUAUUUAUGUUGGUGGAUUAAACUCAAUUAAAAUAAUUCAAAUUAUUAUAUGUUUUUAGUAAAAUGCCUAUGACCCUAUAUUUAACUUAUUAAAUCGCAAAACAGCUGUUGUAAAAAGUCUAGAAAUACAAUAAUAUAACUUCUCAUAAUUUAUAUUACUAUAUAAUUUGUCGUACAACCCCUGCAAACGCAACAGGCUAAAGACUACACAUCAUCAACAUUUGCAUGUACUAUUGAUUGUACAUGUCAUGGACCAUAGCAGAACAGUGCUGCUUUACAACUGUCAAAAUAUAAAAGCUAAACUCAUAAUUCAUCAUUCAUAAUUCAUAAUAUAAUACAUAAACAAAAGCAAUCCUAUCAUAGAAACAGAAUAUAAUAAAUUAACACUUUUUUGUGAAGACAAAAUGCGGAAACUUUGCUUCCAUUUUUCUCUUUCGUGUAUUAUUAUUUUAUCAAGUGCGCUCUUCUUCCUUUUCCAUCGCUUUCUUUAUUUUUCAAAUAUUCUUCAUUCAUAUAUAGCCUACAAAAAUAUAAAACAUGCAGUUAUUAUUAUUAGUCAGUCAAUGUCACUAAUUAUAUGGUCCCUCACCUAAAUCUAAACGAGAAAAAUAUUUAUUAUUUAUCCGUAAAAAGUUGAUGUAGACCAUACACCACUUUGCUCAUAUUACUAGAAUAGUCAAAUUUUGCCAAAAGCAUGUAAACACAUUUUGAAGGGUUGAAUCAUGAAUAUUGAAUACUCACCGGUUCUCUUAAGUCAUUUAUCUGAUUAUGGAUAUUUUUGUUUAAGUUUCCAAAUGAAAUGAUAAAUUAUUAAUAAUUAGUUUACUCAAUGGCAAUAUGUGUCAAAAAUCAUUUGUUAUUUUCCAAAAUCGUUCACUCAUAAUUAAAUUAUUUUAUUCUUUACACCAUUCCCAUUAAUCCUUACAUGAGACAGAAAAAUUAAAGUAUAUAAGAGUAUUUUUGUCAGUAGAUAGUUAAUGUAUAAUGUGUCUCAUAAAUAAUUGACAGACAAAUAUUAAAAAGAAAUAUUAUAUUAUAUUAUAUUUAAUGAUGGAGGAAUUACACUGCAAUACGAAGGUGACGAAAUAAAUUAUGCGAUAAUAAUAUUGUAGAGGAGAUUAAAUAAAAAAGCUUACAUGCAUAGAGAUAUGGUAAAUCGACCACUAUCUAAGAGUGGUAAGGAGGGGGUGGAGAUGCAUAGAUGUAACUGUGAACUGGUGGUGGAGGAGAGUGAUAAACUGGGUGUGGAGUGUAGGGAGGAUGAACUGGUGGAGAGUGGUAAACUGGUUUUGGAGUGUAAGGAGGGUGAACUGGUGGUGGAGGGGAUGAGUAUUUGUAUGGCUUCUUUGGUGGUGGUGGAGAGUGGUAGUAGGGCUUAGGGCUGACGUGAUGCACUGGUGGAGGAGGAGAGGAAUAUUUGUAUGGCUUCUUUGGUGGUGGUGGGGAAUGGUAGUAAGGUUUAGGGCUUAACAUGCACUGGUGGUGGAGGAGAAGAAUAUUUGUAUGGUUUCUUUGGGGGUGGUGGAGAAUGGUAGUAAGGUUUAGGGUGGACAUAUGGUGGAGGAGGAGAAGAAUACUUGUAAGGUUUCUUUGGUGGUGGUGGUGGUGAACUGUAAUGGUAGGGAGGAGGAGGUGUAUAAACGGUGGGGGUGGAGAGUGGUAGUAGUAUGGUUUCUUAGGUGGUGAGUACACUGGUGGUGGUGGUGAAGAGUAAUGGUAAGGUGGUUUAACUGGAGGGUACACCCCCGGUGGUGGGGAAUGUGGAGGGUACACCUUAGGUGGUGGUGGAGAACUAUAAUGGUAAGGUGGUGAGACUGGUGGAUACACCUCAGGUGGUGGUGAAUGUGGAGGGUAUUUCUUAGGUGGUGGUGGGGAAGAGUAAUGGUAAGGUGGUUUAACUGGUGGGUACACCUUGGGUGGUGGUGAAUGUGGAGGGUACACCUUAGGAGGUGGUGGUGAAGAGUAAUGGUAAGGUGGUGAAACUGGAGGAUACACCUUAGGUGGUGGUGAAUGAGGAGGAUACUUCUUAGGUGGUGGUGGUGAAGAGUAAUGGUAAGGUGGUGAAACUGGAGGGUACACCUUAGGUGGUGGUGAAUGUGGAGGGUACACCUUAGGUGGUGGUGGUGAAGGGUAGUGGUAAGGUGGGGAAACUGGAGGGUAGACCUUAGAAGGUGGAGGAGGUGAAGAAUACAAGUAGCUGUUUGCUGAAAUUUGAGAUGUAUGGAGAGAGACACUAUUAUGGCUAAUAGAAGAGUCAAAGUGGCAGAGGCCAUUGGAGACCUCAUUUUUUUUUUUUUGUUCUCUUGUUGCCUUAACCUCACUAGAUAGUGGGAUUUUGAUAUGCUAUAAUGUAACCAAGUGAUGCCCUUUAUAUAGAUCUUUUAUUUACCUACUAGUACUAAUCAUGUUGGUUGGUAACUUUGUUUUCAACUUGUCAAAAUUUUGUUGCCAAUAAGGCGUUGCCGUAUCUUUUUUUAAUUAAAAGUCAAUAAUAUUCAAACACAAGUUUUCAUUAAACAAAAACUAACUUACUUUUCUGAAUAGGUUGAUUUAAUUGGAAAAAAGGGAGGAUAAUUUAUACAAAAAGAGAAGUUGUAUUCCCUAUAUUCGGUAUCAUAAAAAGAAGAGAAACAAUUAUUAAAGCAAAUUUUGGUUAUUUUAUUUUAAUCAAUUUUUUAAAAUUAUUAAAAUGGACAGUGUUUAAUUAAACCAUUUUUUACCUCAAUAUCCCAAGUGAGCUUUGGAGUGCGUAUUUGGAUUUGAUGUAGGCUGCAAGCUUUUAGCAGGAAAUAAAAUAUCUUGAAAUAUCUCAAAAUAAAACAAAAUGGACAGAAAUCCGUAAGUGUAGUUCAGUUGAUAGCUACCAGAGAUAAUGUUUAUAAGGGUUGGGGUUCAAAUCCCAAAUUCCCCACACUAGACUAUUGAAAAAAAAAAAAAAAAAAAAGACAGAAAAUAUAAAAUGUGUUAAAUUGAUGUAGAUUAUUGGAGGUGUUAAAAAAUCAUCAUUGUAUUCUAAUGCCUAAUUUAUCUUCUCCACAUAUCUUUUACUGUUCUUGAAAAAUGCAUGCAUAGAGACCUAACUUCGUGCUAUAUUCGUCUGUCCCUUGAAGACUUUUCAAAAAGACUCGUACACCAGGGCCCAUAUGCAUGGCAUAGCAGCCUCAAUUAUAGGACGAUAAUUUUACGUGAAAUUUUUAUUAUUACUUUAUACAAAUAUUUAUUUAUUUAUUAAAAUUUUACAUAUUUACUUUUUUAAAGUAUAGACAGAAAUUUUUUCAUUUAAGUAAAAUUAAUUUCGAUGUUAUUAAUUCAUUUCCUUUCAUCCUAUCAAAUUAAUGAAUACUAUCCUUGUUGGUAGGCAGAGUCUAGAAUAUUCUAGAUUAGUAUAUACACUUCUAGCUACCUAUCACAAAUUUUGCAUGCAUUUAAAUGAUUUAUCAUGGCAUCGUCUCAGGCUUGGUCCUUUUCAGAUAAAGACAAAAGUUAUGUCUCUGUUUACUUUUAAGCCAAAGUUUUUUUUUACUCUUGUGUAAAGUAAAGUAUAUGACUUUUGAUAUACGGAUAGGAUUCUGGGUUCAAUUGGAUAUAAUUUACCCCGAGGUAUAUAACUAUUUUCUUAUAUUGUUGUUGCUUUUCUAAAACUAUCAAUAAUGAAAGAGAAAUGAUAUUUGUACAACCAUUUUUUAUAAUUUUUAGAUAAAAAUUUCUCUUUCAUAUUCACAUUAUAUUCUUACCCUCUCUCUUCCUUUUUCUCUCUCCUUUGUUUUUAACCAAUGAAAAAAGAGAAAAAGAAGGUUGUCAAAAAGGUUGUACCAAAUGGUUGUUCAAAUAUCAUUGCUCUAAUGGAAAGGUCUUAAUAUCAUCUUUAUUUAGUCUCGUUUUGGAAAAGUGAUUUAAAAUCUGAUCCGAUCAUAACGAUUUUUACAUAAUAACAUAGAAACGCAUAAAAAAAAUAUUCGAUUUUUUAUGAUUUUUUUGUUUUUUGAUCGAUUUGCAGUUUUAUUUUGAAUCGGCUUGUAUUUGAACACCCCUACUUCUUACUCAUCCACACAAGGUAACUCGAAUCAAGGUUGAGAAGAAUAAUUAUUUGUUGAAUCUACCAUUUGUGGUGGACUAAUCUUUUAAAUUUCUCGUAAUAGUUCUUUUUACUUUCAUUCAGGUAUUCCUUAUCUGUUUCUGAUGUAACUUGAUUUUUCUCUUUGCUUCUCUCUAGUAUACUUUGUGUAGGGCAAGAAGUAAAGAGGUUUAGUUAUGGAAAUUCCAUAUUAGCUUUUUUAAAAUAAAAAAAAAUAGAACAAUUUGUUUCACCAUUUAAUUUUUAUAAUUAUAUUAUAAAUAGAGAGAUUAAAGUAAAGUUGACUAAAAAAUUCGAGUAGCUAAUAAGCUCGUACUUCCUCUAAUUCUUAUUAUACGAGAAAAUUUGUUUUUCAGAUUCAUUCACUAAAUAAUGUACCAUGUUUCUAAUAUAAAAUAAAUACAUCAUUUAUUGAAUCUAAAAAAUCAACUUUCUUUGAUAAUUGAGACCCAGGGUAGAACAUGGCAAGGGUUGAUUAUAGAAAAAUGCUAAAGAGUGUCUACACUUAAAAUGGUAAGAAAUUUUGAAAAUCUAUAUAACUAUUGCAUUAGAAAUAAAACUCUUUGACUUUUUAAUGAAUUUCUAAAUUAUAAAUUAUUAAAAAAUGUCAUAGAGACACUUGUUAGCGAUAUGAUCUGUUAUACUCUAUAGGUCGCGUCCUUUUUUUUUUUUUUGACAAGUGGGUCGCGUACCUAUUCUUAAUCAAUCAAAAAUAUGUUGGAUAACAUAUUUAAUUCACCGUUGAACAAGAAUAAUGUUUUUUUAUUUAUUGUAUCAAAGAAUAAUGUAUUUUAUUCACCGUACUAAUAUUAUAAAAAAAAAUAAAAAAAAUCGACCGUCGUUCUUUUAAUUUUUCUGUCCUAAAAAAAUACUCAGUUUAAACGAGCAAGCAUAUAUUUUCAAUAUCUAAUUUUUUUCUCAAUUUAUAUUCCACUCAUAUCAUAUCAUAUAAUAUACUUAUUUUUGGUCAAAAAAAAUAUAAUAUACUUAUUUAUAACAUUAAUCACAUCGUUGACUUAUUUCUUUCUCUUUCAAGAUACUGAGGAGAUUUUCUUUAUAAAAAAAAAAAAAAAAAAAUCCAUAUUGAGGAGAUGUAUGCAUAUGUACACAAAUCAUUAAAAGUGUAAUUGAGUUGUGUAAAACACAAAAAACUGCAGAGAUGGGAACAAAUAAAUUAAUAGAAACGGCAGCUUAGUUCAUGCUCUUACAUCAGUAAAAAAUUAGGUGGGAGUUAUUAUUUUUCCACAGAUUAGCAUAUAUAUACCCCACAGGUCCAUAUCAUUUUUCCCCUUAAAAAAAGUCCAUGUUACUUUUGUUUCAAUGUAUCCAAACUAGGAAAAGUCCGGAAAAUUAGAUUUUACCUAGGCAACAACACAUCACCAUUAAUUAUUUUUUCCAUUUUUUUAGUUUUCCAUGUUUUAAGAUUUUUUAUCUUUACUAAAAGAAUCAAUAAAUUCUAAUAUCUAUCUCAUUACACCUAUUUUUUUGUUACAUGAGAUAAAAAAGAACAAAGACACAAAAAAAUGAAAAGAAAAAAAUUAUGCCCUAAUAAAGUACACAUCAACCUUAUCCCCGUGAGCUUAACUCAGUUGGUAGGGAUAUUGCAUAUUAUAUGCAAGGGCCGGGGUUCGAACCCCGGACACCCCACUUCUCCACAAUUAAAUUGUGUGAACUCUAGCCACUAGACUACUUGACCAAAAAAAAAGUACACAUCAACCGUGUCAAGUAAUAAAUUAAGCCCUAAUAAGAAGAAAAAAAAAACAAAAAAUUAAGCCCUAAUAAAUUCCAAUAUCUCAUCACAACUAUUUUUUACGAGGGAAACAUGUCUAAUGUAGAUAAAAUAUAAUUGGUGCAAGUUUGUGAAUUUAGAUUAUGUUUUUUAAGAAGGUAAACUAAAUUAUCAAAAUUGACAUAAAAGAUAAUCAAACAUGAGACUCGAAAUAUACUUUCACAGUUUUUAAAAUUUCAAUUCAAAUUUAGAUUAUAUUCGAUUACAUCUAGAUCACAAAAGUAUAAAUUGAAAAAAUAUAAAAAAAAAAAAAAAAAAACUUUCUAAGAGCAUUACAACUUUAAUGUUAGAGGUGGCCUUUAAUUUGUUUAACCGUGUGUAGUUUUUGUUUUGUUUCGUUUUUGUUUGUUUUUCAUCCUUUUAUUUUGGGUUAGAUUUUUCUUCUCCUUGUAUUUUUUUUUUCUCAUUUAUUUUGAUAUAUUUUAAAAUUAUAAAGAACAACAGCAAUAAUAAUAAAUUAAUUGCCCUUAAAACAUUUUAAAACCGUCACUAGCAAGUUAAGGGAAGUCACCAACCACACAAUAAUGACCCUUAGGAUAGUUUAUUGAUUUAAGUCAUCAGAAGUAAGAAGAAAGAAGAAAGGGAAGGCACCAACCCAAACAAUGAUAUUCGAUGAUCAUGACUAAAAAAGGUUUAACUUUCAUAUCCAACCCCUGCAUAUGCAUAUGCUUGACUUUAAUAUUGGGAUAUGAUCCAAUAUUUUGCAUCAUGCAUAAGUUAUUUUUUUCAUCGUUAGAUAAAAAAAAUGUCACACCAUUGCACCAAAAAAAAUCACAUUAAAUUUAAGGGUUAAAUAUGUUAUUGGUCCCUAUAAAUAUACCAAUUUUUCGUUUUAGUCUCUCUAAAAUUUUCCUUCAACUUUUAGUCCCUAAAAAAUUUUCCAUCUUCACUUUUGGUCCUUCUUUUAAAGUAAACUCAUAUGUAGAAUUCAUAUUUUUGAAUCAAAUUUUUCAGAAAAAUUCAUAAUAUUAUAAGAAUCUCUCCCAAAAAAAUUAGAACUUUUUAACAAAACAUGAAUUUAAUAUGAAUUUUUAUAUUAUUUAUGGUUAAAAAUUCAUAUAUAAUUUAUGUUUACUUAAAAAAUUCUAAUUUUUUUUUUGAAAUGUUUUUACAAUAUUCUACACAUUUGUGUACAAUUUCAUUAAAAAAAAAAUACUAAAAUUUACUUUGAAAUAGGGACCAAAAGUAGUGACUCAAAAUUUUACAGGGACUAAAAGUUGAAGGAAAAUUUAAGAGGGACUAAAACGAAAAGUUGCUAUAUUUAUAGGGACCAAAAACAUAUUUAACCCUAAAUUUAAUAGUAAAAUAUAUUGAUCCGAUAAUAAAAACUAAUUUAUGUAUGUUGUAAAAUUUGUUUCAUUUAUAUACAGUAGGAUUGACAUAUCAUUUGCUAGAGUAAUGUUUCUUGGACACCUUAUAUAUGUAUGGCACACUUAUUUUACACUAAAAAAUAAAAUAUUUAAUAUAUAAAAACUGUUUUUUUUUCCUUCGAAAUGAUAAAAAUUGUUUAUUUUUUAUAAUAAUAUCACUUAUGGUGGAAGACGGCCGAAAACAUGCCAUAACAUAGAGCUCCAUCGACCAUCGAAACUUCACCAUCGAUCAUCGUUGAGUCACUAAAGCUCUUCCACCGACCACCUUGGAUCGUUAGAACUCCACACCAUCGGCCAGCCACCAUCAAUAUUGAGGUGUCAAACAAGUGUCCCUAUAUAUGAACCGUUUACAAAGGAAGAAACAUAACAAUGUAAAGGGUUAGAAAAUGCUUUGGAAGAGAAGAUAACAAAAACAAAACAUAGAGGAAGAAAGCAGAGUAUCUGAAAGAGAUGAGCACAUGAUCUGCGACGACAACAGAGGAAGAGAUGAAGAGCUCGUGUGAGAAGAUAAAGAGUUUGAAAAAUUUAGGGUGUAUAUUAAAACAAAAAGUUGAAAUAUUUAUAGAGACUAAAAACAUAUUUAAUCAACAAAAGUUUAUAAAGAGUUGCAUUGCACCCUUCAUCUUACAAACCGAUUUUAUGUGGUUGAGUUGCACUCAAUAUAAAAACCUAAUAUGGUAAUCGUUUGGGACCAUCUAUCAUUUAUAUCCACGCAUCAAACUCAAUAAUGUCAGGUGUGAUUUUAUAUUUUAUAAAGAGCGACUUCCAUCACCAUACAUAUCAGUUUUGUAAGAAUGCCGACUGAACAUAAAAACCUAAUAUCUAGUUACAUAUUUCAUUAAAAUAACACAUUUUGCACAUAUCACACAUCCAUUAUUUAUCCAAAAAAAAAAUCACACAUCCAUUAUACUUUUGCGCUUAAACCAUUAUAUUUUACAACUAAAUUAUAUAUUUUAUCUGUCUCAUUAUAAAUGUAUUAUUCGUUUUUUAUGUCUCAAAACUUUAAAAUAUCAAUAAACAAUUGAUUUACUUUUUAUUAGCCUAAAAAAAGUAAAAUUAAUAAGCUUUUGUAAUAAUGAAAUUCUCUUUUAUCAUUAAAAUUAACCCAACUAAUUAUUUACUUAAAAGUCGCGCCCAAAUCAAAACUCUUAUACUGGGAUAUCUUCAUCUUUGUUUUGGCCUAAAAUUUGGAGCAGCAAAUACUUCAUUUUAUGUUUUAUUUAAAUGGACAUAUUGGAUAAAUUACAGGCCGUGAAAUAUCAUGUCACAUACUUUUAUUUUCUUACAUACACCAUAUUAGUCAUUCAAAGUUCGUAUGAAUCUGCAAAAUCUAGUUUAAUUGUCAAUGUUGAUAUUGUUGGACUAGACAUAAUCAUUCGGAUUCUAAUAUGAUAUCUCAUAGUUGUGUUGUAUAUGAAUUUAUUUAUGUUGAUGUUUUUCAAUUUGUGUACAAAAAAGAAAAUGGAGGAGUUCUUUAGAAUAGUAAGAUAGGUUUAUAUAUAUGAAAGUAGCAUGUGAUUUUUUUUACUAUAUAGUACUUUUUUUAACUAUACAAUACUUGUAAGUUAAGGAAUCAAUCAUGCAAAUUAAAAUUAUAAUAUGAAUAUGUAAUUUAUAAUGAUUGUGUAUAAAUCAAUUAACAGAGAAAGCAGAAGACUUGUCAAAAAAAAAAAAAAGAGAGAGAAAGCAGAAGAUAUAAUAUGAAUAUGUAAGUUAUAAUGAUCGUAUAUAAAUCAAUUAACAGAGUGAAAGCACAAGAUAUGGACCUAAGAUCCUAUGGAAAAAUAAAAUAAAAAAAGAAAAAGAAGAAGAGACGAUUUAAUUUGAUAGCUAUACCAGCCCCAAAAGCAUAACAAAAUAUUAUAUUUUAAAACAUAAAUUGAGUAUCCAUUAUUACCAUUAUGCAACACUUUUAGUUUUCCUCAUGUCGCCUAGCGGGUAGAAAACUUGGAACAUAAUUGAUUUUUUGUUUUUGAAGGAUUGGAACAUAAUUGAUGAGGAGCUACAAGAUAACCUUUUCACUAAAAAAAUUCAAAAAGAAAAGAGAGAGAGCUCCAUUACACGUGAAAAAGAAAAAGUGGAUCCGGAUAUUCGUAAGACAAAUAGAUUAAAAAAUAAUUCCUGGCAAAAAAUAAAAUUUACUCAAAGAUAACUAUAUUUUAAAAAAUAAUGCUGUGUCAAAUAAUUGGAUUUUGGAAUAUUAUCAUAUCUUAAAUAAAGUUUAUAGAACGAUUCAUCAUUGAUCAUGUUUAAACUCGAUUACUUGGUUGAAGAUACAUUCCUUUAACAGUAGGGUAACAAAAGUAUUAAAUAUGACCCCUAAAAAAACAUAUAUUAAAUAUCAACCUAGUUACCGACAGAGAAAGAAAGGAUUACAUGCAACGACGUGCUCAUAAAGGAUCCAACGGCCACAAUUUGAUUAGAUAUUGUUGUCAAAAAUGUGACCAAGUAACUACGUGGUACAUGCACGUCACAAAUGGUAACAAAUGCAAAAGUCAAAGUAGAUUCACAUCAAUCAAUUCCACAAUACGUGUCCUUUGUGUUUGGUUUGUAGUUUUCUGUGAAGGUUCCCAGUUUGAAUGAAUACUUGCAAACAAAGUCCAAAAAUAUUGAUAGGGAAACCAUAGAAAGGUUAUCGAAAUUGAAUUUUAAUAUGUAAUAAUACGUACAAAUUUGUGUUUUAAGAUGUUACAAAUGAACGAAGAAACAGAAUAUGAUGCUACCAUUCACAUGCAUCAUGUGUUUUUCGUGCUUUUUUCCUUCGCACUAUAUAACAACAUUCCUCAAAAUGAAUCAACUCGUUUGUUCAAAUUUUGAAAAAUUCGUGAAUGAGACUACGUUGAUUCGGAUAGCUUGGAUUAUUGAGGACUGUUAUAUAAAACGAAAAAUGCCUCAUGAAUUAAUCUUUAGAGCCAAUCAAAUUUGCUUCCGGGCGGAAAACACGGGGGGUGGGAUGUUAAGUUGUGUUGAUAUAUUUUUCAACGUCAUGUGAUAUACAUCUUUGGGAUGAUUUCGCUUUCCCUUUCUAGCUAUACAUAUCAUUUCCCUUGCUGAUAAAUUUGAGUAGAUUUGUUUCGUUUGGCAUUUAGUAAUUUUGAGAUUAUGACAAACAUUUUUGAAAGUACAAGUAAAAAAAUGCUAUUUUUUUUUUCAAUACUAUCGUAGAAAGAUUAAACUUUAGAAGAAAUUACACUUGUAUUUUUGGAUAGUUUUAAAUCUUUAAGAAGUUAGAAUUUUGUUAAAAAAUUUAGCUUGAUAACCUUAGAAGUAUGGAUUCGUGAUGACUUUUGUAAUAUUACUUUUUUUUGUUUUGUUGCAACGUUAGAUUUUUGAAGUUUUAACAAAAAUAACAAUCAAAGUAACAUUGUCAUUGUGAUAUCGUCAAUUAUACACUAAUUUGAUAUUGAUCCAUCAUCUGAUAUGAAGACGUACAUGCAUGAUGUGUCAAAAUAAUUUUUAUGUCAAAAUAGCUUUGGUAGUUUCAAAAUCAAGAUCAUUAGUUAAACUUGAAUAAUCUCUCCCAUCCAAAUGUUUUUGGAUCUGAUUUUGUUGGAACACUCAACCUCAAAGAUCAUUUAAUUUUCGAGGUAUUUGUUUGCAUGCUAAUUUUUAGUGAAAAAGAUUGAUGGACACCCAAUGCAUCUCUCUCUCUGGUUGAAAAUGUAUGACACGUCUAUGGAAUUGGUGGAUGAAAUGUUUAAAUAUCACCAUCCUAAUUUUUUAGAAGGAUUCGAGAUUUAAUGUUUACAACUGUGUUUGAAAAUUUUGGGGUCUUAGGGUGCGUUUGUUUUGCUAAAAAAUGAAAGACAAGACAGAACAACUCUAAUUGUCCAGUGUUUAAUUUGUAAAACUGUUUCAGGUACAUGACAACUUGGAGGCAAGGGACAGGACCAAAACUCAUAUUUUUGUCCCUCACCAAACCACAUCACAACUUUUUGUCCCACGUACAAGUUGUCUAAAAUAGCAAAAUAGUUUUUAUUCCUCAAAAAUCGUAUAAAACAAAAAAUUACUCAAUGCCAUAAAAAAUUUGUCAUGUGUUGUUCUACCUUGUGUUGUAUUGUUCUAUCUUCUACUGUUCUGUCUAGUACUUGCUGUUUUGCAAACCAAACACAUCCUUAGAGUUUUGACAAGAUAAAUUAAUUACUCAAUAAAUCUAAAAAAAUCAAAUAUUUUUUAUAAAUAGGACCGGAAGGAAUACUUAAUUGUAUGCAAUGCCUCCCAUGUUUUUCGGUAAUGACCAAAUUCAAUUAGCUAAGCACUUUUCGGGAUGAUUUCUCCCGCGAGCAAUAGCAUUGCUAAAAAAAAUAUACAUACAUAAACUAUCAGUUUCAUACUAUUAAUCUUCUGAUUUGUUUUAGCCACAAUUUUAUAAUCAAGCAUUCUUAACAUUUCAUUCUUAGUAAAUAAAAUCUUUAAUUUACUAAAUCUGUUGAUGAUCUUAGAUAGAUUUGGAGAAAAUAUUAAAAAGUUAAACUAUAUUUGUAUGUAAAGGAGUAAAUAAUAGUUUUAUCAAUGUAAAAAAAUUAGUAAAUACGAUUUAUUGGGUCAAUUAGCUUAAUUGCAAGAAUCACAUCCUUUUUUAGUGUUCCUUUCUUUUGAGAUAUAUCAGGAAUUACUUAUAUAUGAAUAGAAGGCAAACGAACAAUAAGAUGCGUCGAUAGAUCUUUUUGAAUGACACAUACCUUAAACGCAAAGAAGUGAGAAAUCACAUACAUCGAAUAAUUCUACAACUAUCAAUUAAGUUGUGCGCACCAUUAAUUGAUGAUUACACUUCAAUCAACCUUUGGAAAGUUGUUACAAUGUUAAUUGAUGAUUACACUACAAUGACACACUUUUAAAAAAAUUGUGGUACACGGUUAAUUGAUGAUUCCAUUACGAGGAGACUUUUACAAAAGAGGAAUGUUAGCAACACUCUCUUUUGAACACUCUCUCUAGCACUCACUCUUUUCUUGAGUGAAAUUAAUGUAUGUCCCACCACUUUAUGUGAGUUGUAUUUCCAAAGUGUAGGUCCUACAUUAAUUUUAAUAAAAAAAUGUUUUACGGAAAAUGCUAAUCCUUCGAGGGGAUGGGAUUGAAUGAGAAUUUUAAAGGGGUAACUUUUGCAUAUAUUUGUUAAUUUUUUUAAGUGUCUUAUACUUAUAUUUUGAGUACUGCUAUAUUGUAUGAGAUUUAUCAACGAAAUUCAUGGAAUGCACACUUGUCCAAUUUUUAAGGAAUAAAAAGAGGGUUAUGAAGUUGUUUAACAUAAAUCAUGGAGUAGUGACCAAUUAUUCCGAUCCAUAAGCAUUUUCAUUAUCAUUUUACGGAUUACAUAGGAUUGUUAGCUUUGUGAAUUUGGAAUAAACUGCAUUCGUCAUUUUUCAUUGUGUGUCUCUCUCGUACCAUCAAGCAUUAUCAUUUUUUAGAUGAGUGUUUUUUUUUUGAAGAAAUCCUUACACGAUUUUUUAGGGUUAAGGCCUACUGCCUUAUGGUUUAUAAGGCCAUGCUUUGGAAGACCUGGAUUCUAUAGCUACAGAAUUGUUCUGCAGUUGUAGGAAUUGUUAUGUUAUAUUUCGAGAAAAUCCCAUUCUCCAAUGAUUUAAACACACCCUACUUUGGACCACUUCAUUUGUUUUAACAAAAAUUGGACCACUUCAUUGUAUCAUCUAUCAUGAUCUCGGUGGAAGGUCUCGUUCUCUCUCUCAUAUUUAUUGUACCACUUUAUAAAGAAUCCCAGGAUUUUCUUAAAAGAAUCCAUGACAUGCUUUAUUGGUGUUGACAUCUCAAAUUUCAUUUCAUACUAUUUUUAAGUAAUUUCACCACCGUAAUGACUCAAUUUUAUAUAUAGACAACCAUGUUAUGAAAGUUAUCAAUAAUUUUGAAAAUUAAUAUGAAAAAUUCCUAGCUUCUACAAACCUCAAAAGUGAAAGAUUGAGUUUCAAUGGUGUUUGGUUUGCCUUUUAAGAAUUGUUUCUAUCUUCCAUAAGAAACUCUCCUUAUAGCUACAAUUCAUAGCUUUUGGUUUUCAUAGAAUCAAUUCUACGUUAAAUUUUAUAUUUUCAUUAUUACAACCUAUUAUUUUCCUAUUUUGCCCUUUAUCAAUUCUCCUUCUGUUUGCUUUGUAAUUAACUUGAUGAACCAAAUUUAAUCAGAAAACUUAACGAACCAAAUUAGCCUCCGAAAAAUAUUUAUUGUCAUGAGUUACCAAAUUUUGGAUUUUCUUUUACGGUGUCCCCAUUCAGAUUUAGUGUAUUUUUUCCUUUACCUUUCUUUUACGCUAUAUUUUAUCAUUUUUAGCAACUAACUUUAAUAUUAUUUAACUUAAAUAUAUUUUAUCAAAAAAAUGAAAUAUAUGAACAAAUAUUUUGUAAAAAAAUUAGUUUAAUGAUCGUAUUUAUUAUGUUUUAAAUUAAUAUAUAGAAAAUUUAUUUAUAUUAAAUAAUAUAUCUACAUUUAAUUGAAUUUAGUUAUGUCGUAAUUAUACAUUUAAAAAUAAUUUUGAUAAAAAUUAUCCAAACAACAUUCAGUUUGUUUAAUCAAUUCUACAUUAUUGUAUCCAAAUAUAAACUAAUUCUCUCAAAAUUAAUUCUGUCAUAAUCAAUUUUAUCCAAAGUUUAAUCAAACGCAAAGUAACUUUUCCCAGAGCCAGUUUGUUCAUGUGUAUUUUUCAAUAAAGUGAUUGAUAUGGGAUUAAUAAAUAAAUAGUAACCAUGCACGACGUCAUCAUAGUCACAAUAUAUAUUCAAUCAGCAUUGUAAUGUAAAGGUAUAAAUCCUAUUUUUACGCCAUACUAUAAAUAGCAAAGAUGUGACCAUACAAUGUAAAUUUGAUUUUAACCAAAAUAUAUUGCAUGCACGCAACACUCGAUUAUUAUCAUUAAUUAUGAAAGACAAUCAUAUCCGGUAUACUUUGAAGGUGCCAUGCACUCCAAAUGAAGGAAAAGAAAUGAGUAUAGGCAAUGCUUUAGCACAUGGGGACGAGUAAGGGAUUUAUCUAGAUAGAUGCUGUCCUUUUUCCUUUCCCUCUCUCAUGCAUGGCUCUUGAAGUUAUGAGUGCAAUCAUGUGCAUGUCAUGUACAAACAAAAUCACGAAUAUCAUAUCAAAAGAGUAACGAAAUUUGUAUAAUAUAUGAUGACAAUUUUGUUACUCCUCUGUUCCGCAAUAAAUGACAUAUUUGAAUAUGUGCAAUUUUGAUCUAACUUAUUUUGACCAUAUUUUUCUACUAAUAUACAAAGAUAAAUAAUAUCAUAUAAGAUGUCGUUAGAUUCGUCUCGAUGAGUAUUUUCAAAAUAUCAAAUUUUCAUAAUUUUUUCCAAUAUAUUAUUCAAGAUAUUUAAACUCAAAAUUACGCAUUGAUAUGCGUAAUUGGAUCAACUGUGUCACUUAUUAAGGGACGGAGGGAGUACAAUUUUUUUUAUUGAUAAAAAACAAUAGAAAAAAAAAAAGAGAUGAUAAGAACAUGAGUAUGAGAGAAAGAGAGCUGUUCAAAAGUUAUUACAAAAUGAUUGUACAAAUAUAAGUGUAAAAUACUUGGUAAUAUCGUUUCACCUACGGUGUUAAGUUGGUUAUUCAAUUCUUACAAUGUUCUUGCUAGAGAAAAUGCGAGAACACUCUCAUUUUAAGACAUUUUCUAUCACUUAUUAUUAUCUUAUAUGAUAAAACUUAUAUAAGUUUCAUCACUUUACAUAUGAUUUAUUUUUAAUGUGUGAAACUCAUAUAAGUUUUACACCAAUUAUAAAAGAAUGAGUGUUAAAGAGAAUAUUAAAAAAAUAUUCAUAGCAUUUAUGGUUCUAAUAAAGAGUACUCCUAGUAUCUUCGCUGGACACAUGUGGUAAUUGAGAAAAUGAAAACGAAAAUAAAAAUUAUGCAUUAUUGAUUUUCUAUUUUAAUUAAAAUAAUAUUUUAGUCCAUUCAUUUGUUCUUCUUGUUUUUUUUUUUUUUUUAUUUUACAAAAAGAAACAACAUUCAUUCAUUUACAUUGAUAUAGUAUAUUAAAACCAAGACACAAAUUUAAGAAUUAAACUCAAACCUUAAACGACUAAUAUUGUGAGACGGAGAGAGUAUUGCUAAAAAUGAAAAAAAAUGAUGAAUCUGCAAACAAACUCAUAAUAUCUAAAUGUAAAUUUUGAAUCUAUAAUCAUUUUAAGCUAUGUAAAAAUGAAAAUUUUAUGAGAAGAAUGUAGUAACAUUUCUUUUCUAACUCUAUUCUUCUAAGGCCUUCACUUAAUCUUCAUGCGAAUAAAAACCAAAAUAUUUUGAUAGUAAGAAAUCGUAUUCUCCCUUUUAUGUAUUAAUAAUGUUUCUCUAAUCCGUCAGAAUAAUAUGAGAGUGAUAAUUUGGAGUUCGACUGUGAAGUAAAUAUAAUUGACUAAAAAUAUUUCAUUUAAGAAUUAAACUCGAGUUGUUUCGAAUGAUCUAUAAUUUGGUCGAGUUUAUUAAUCACUUGAACUCAAUUUUUUUGGUGGUGAUUGAGGUUUGAGCCUCAAACCUUGUUUAUAUUAUGUAUUGUCUCUACCAACUCAGCCGAACUCAUGAGGAUAAUCAUUUGAACUCAAUUGUUAAUGGAAAAACGUUUCUUUAAUUAAUUAAAAUUGUUUCUAUUAAAAUGGGAGCACGAUAAUUGCAUUAAUAAUGAAAAUAAAAAAGUACUGGUAUAAUUGAACAAAGGCCCCACUGUAAUUUCCUCAACGAAUGAGAAAGAAAAACAUUAUCCGAUCUAUUAUUGCUAUGGGAAGGACAAGGUACCGGGCAUUUAUGAUAAUUAAUUAAUUUUGCCUUUAUUUAGGGGAUUAAUUUUGCUUUGUUAUGAGUACUUUUCAUAGAUUUACAAUAUGCUUAAACAUGGAAAGGAGAAGACUAACGAGUGUCCCAAAGAUAUUGAUUAAGCAUACAAAACAAAUAAGUUUUCCUAAAAAAUGUGCAUAACAUCUUAUAUUUUUAAGACAAAACUUAUAUUACUAGAUUCCUUAACUAUUGCUUUUGGGGUAUAGGUUAGCAAGAUCCAAAAAGAAAAUAGAAAAAAAAAAGUCAGCAACCAACUACACAAAUGACGACAAGGGAUGACAAAGAUUACACUUUUGAGUAAAUUUAGGAAUUUGCACUUUCCACUUUUUCAAUUUCAGUCUUUUUAUACCAUCUUGGAUAUUACUCCAAUUUUUACCCUUAACCCGGCAGCUUUAAAUAGUCCCUAUUAGUAGCCAUCAGAUUGAUAAAUAGAAACUCAUUGAAUUAAUUUCAACCCAGCAGCUUUAAUCAAAAUUUCGUAUAGUUUGGUGACCAUAUUUAAUAGGUUUAACAACAAUUUUGGCCCCAUAUGUUUUAAUAAGUUGCAAUUUUGGUUCUCUACCAGAAUAAAAUACAAAACCGUCCCUUAAAUAUUACCCUUUUGCAGUUUUGACUCCAGACCAAUUUUGAUCAAGUCAAAGCUGAGUGGACACCACGUAUGCAUUGAUUUGGUCAAAAUUGGUAUGGGGAGCCAAAACUGCAAAAGAGAUAAUACUUAUGGGGCGGUUUUGUAUUUUAUUUUGUUAUGGGUCAAAAUCGCAACUUCUGGAAACAUUGGGGGCCAAAACUGAUAUUAAACCUAUUUAAUAUGAUGUAUACAUCCUUAUGUUUUUAUUAGAGUAAAUAGUCAAUUUCCCCUCUGAAUUAACAAUACUUCAAUUUACAAGAAAAUGAAUGAAUAUAUGCCAAAGAAAUCAUGAUUUUGUCAUGUGGAGCCUUUUCAUUCAUAUUUCAUAUUUAUCAACAAGGAGCAAGAUAAAUUUUUUACAAAGAAGGUAAAACUAAAAACCAAACAUUCAAAAGAUAUCAAGUUGUUGAAAUAAACCAAGACAAGAAUGUCAUAGCAGCAGAAAAUUGAUAUCUAUCACAUAACUUUGUAGUACAAUGUGAUCUACCGGCUUCAUGCAGAAGGUAUAUGACAUAAUCUAUUUAACAUGCUCCAACUAAUAGAUAUGACAUUUCCUGUAUUAUAAAAAUUAUAUCAUUAAUUAAGUUGCAAAUUCACAAACCUAAGCCUUGUUUCUUCUUCCAUCUGCAGAUAUUAACCUAUGAAUUUUCUUUAUGGACACACAAUUAUCAAAGACUUGUGUACUUUAUGACUGCUUACUCUAACAUAAUUACCAACUUGUGUAAAAAAAAUUCUUCUAUAUAUGUAUAUAUUUAAAACACAUGAGAGUAACAUACCUUCCAUAAAGAUUUAUAUGACCAAUAACUGCAUAAACAUACAUUCCAUGCAGAUUUAUAUGAUCAAUAAUUGUUAAUUUGUUUGCCUUUAAUAUCUUGAGUCAAGGAUAAAAAAAUAAUAUAAAUUUUCUAGUUUAGGAGGCAUUUUGCACAUAAGUGUAAAAUUUCAGGGGGGUAUUUGAUCAUAACCGUAAACAGUUAACAGAAAAAUUUGACGGAGGGAGUAAAUUGAUUAAUGUUAUGCAAUUUCAGGGGGGUAAUUGAAGUUUUGUUAAUUUCAGGGGGUAAUUGACGAAACCUAUAAUUUCAGGGGGGAAAUUGACUAUUUACUCGUUUUUAUUAUAAGCAAAAUUUCAUUUUUUUUAUAUUUAUUAAAUAAUUGAUAUAUUUGGUCUAUAUUACAAAUUAGAUAUAUUAAUAUUCAAUCCUUUGUCUGAUUGGAUAAAAUGAAACUUUGAUGGUGCUGCAAUUGGAGUACCGGGUAAUGCAGCUUGGGGUGGUAUUUUUAGAAACUAAAAUGGGGAUCACUUAGGAAGUUUUGCUUUCAACAUAGGCAAUGACAACGCUUUACAUGGUGAGCUAACCGGAGCAAUGAUGGGAAUAGAAAUUGCAGCGUCAAAGAAUUUGUCGAAACUUUGGUUAGAGACAGAUUCCAAAUUAGUUGCUUCAGCUUUCAAGAAUCCUUCUUUAGUUCCUUAGAGAAUAAGGAAUCAAUAGUUUAAUUAUAUUCACCUUUCAUUAUAUAUGAGAUUUUUGGUUGCUCGUAUAUUUAUGGAAGAAAAUUAUUGUGCAGACAAAAUGACAAAUAUUAGUUUAACUUCUCAGAAUUUAGUUUGGUUAGAUGAUGUACACAGGGAUAUCAGAGUGGAUUUUAAAAAAGGGCAAUGCGGUGCAUUAGAGCUUCCGCAUAUGCAAUAGAAAUGGGCCAGCCCGCCUCGAUCCGUUUAUGAUUGGGCCGUGAAUUCUAGAGCCUGGCCUGGCCUGUUUAUGUUUUAUUUUUAAAAUUUAUUCACUUUUUUGAUGUAUUUUCGUAUGUAUUAGUUACUCACCAUUAUUUUUUUGCUAAAAUAUGAUUGGAUGAACAUAAAAAUAUAAAUAAUUUUUACAUUAACAUUGAAUAAUAAUUAAACUCUAGAUUAUUCUUUCAAUUAAAUCAAAUUAAUAAUUUAUAAACUUUAAAAUUUAAAAACUGCAAGCUAAAUUCAUCCAUAUUUAUUAAGUUUAUUUAUUUAAAUAUUUUUUUGUUAAUAAAUUUUAAAUUAUUUGAUAAUUUUUUUAAAAAAUAUGUUGUUUUUUAACAAAAAUAAAAUGAAAUAUGGGCUAAUGGGCCGGCCCAAAGUCCGGUGGGCCAGUCCGACUCAACUUUUGUAUGGCCCAAAUGGGCUUGGGCCGAAAAAGCCCGAGUGCAUUUUUUGGUUAGUUUUUUAGGCCCGGCCCAUGAGCCCGACCCAUUUUUGACAGCUCUAAUUGUACGCAGCUUUACCUUGUUUUACACAAGAGGCUGUUUCCAGGAUAUCAGAGCGGACUUUGCUAGGAACAAAUUAAGGUCUCUCUUGUUUUCGCUUUGCUAACUGAAAGGGUUUUGGCCGGUAUAGUCUACCAUUUCCUCUUUUGUUCCCUUUUUAUUUCUAUAUUUACUAGGGGCAACCCGUUUUUUUGCUUAAAAAAGACAGUAAAAUAACAUCAUCAGUGUGUAUAUCUCUAAUAGCGACAUUACUUCUUCAGUACGACUUUAUGAUGAUCCACGAGUGAUUGUAUAGAUCAUGGAUUCUCUCUAUUUUUUAGUAAGAGAAAUGGAAUUGGAAAUGUAUAUUAUUAUAGUUUUGAAGUAAAUAAAAAUAUAAAUACACGUCUGUGUGAAGUUAUCUUAGUUAGUAAGGACAUUUAAUAAAAUAUGUAGGGGUCGGUGUUCGAACCUCAGAUAUCCUACUUAUUCAUCUUAUAAAUGUCAUUUUUUAGACAAUAAAUUACUUGAUUAAAUAAUAAUGAUAUAAUACACUUUUUUUUUUUUUUAAAAUUGAAGACAUUAAUUAUAUUUAUGGAGUAUAUCAAAAACUAUAUAGUAAUCAAGAUGUCUAUUUAUUAUAAGAAAUAAAGAUGACUUAUAAUAAUUAAGAUGUCCAAUUUGAAAAAUCUUUUAAAAUAACUAAGAUUUAUUCAAGAGAAUGAUGUCUAGCAAUAUACUCCAUCCGAUCUCAAUUAUAAGUAAAAGUUAAUUUUUUAUAUUAAUUCAAUAAAUAAUGAAUUCAAUAAAUAUUAUAGACAAAAUAUAUUAAUUAUUGAAUGAAUCUAAAAAUGUAAAUUUUUGUUUAUAAUUGAGACCGGAGAAAGAGAAUAUAGCACUUUGAACUUGAUCCUUUUCAUGUAACAUGUCCUUCAUUCUCUCUCCAUCAUCUCUGCUCUCUGCUUGGAUUCUAUCCUUCACCGUACAAAGGGGCAUGAGAGAGAAUAGAAAAUUGUAGGGUAAGAAAGAGGUAAAAGAGGAGAGAAGAGAUGAGAUUGAUAGAGAGGAUAUGUAUGGUGAUUGAGAGAUGAAAGAAGAUAAUCCAAAUCAAUGUUCUUACUAAUACAGUGCGUGGUCGUCAUGUCAGAUUAAUAAUACAGUUCAUGCACAUGAUAUUCAAUCUUCACAGUAAUAACUUUUGUAUUUUCUAGACAAUGUUCCAAUCAUUUUUUUCAAAGAGUUGAAAGUUUAGCAUAGAUAUAAAUUAGAAAACUUGGUUGAAAAGUAACAAUCGAGCAAAAUAAUUCAAAAUUAGCAGCACAAGUCCUGCAACAUUAUGACAUCGUCUACAAAACAAUAGUAAGAUAUUGUUAACUAAGAUUUUCAGAAAAUAAGAUUGCCUCAAAAACUAAAUAAUUAAGAUUUUACUCGCAUAUUAUAAAUCCAUAUAUAAUAUUUAUAUCAUAAAACUGUUGCAUUAUAAAACAGCAUUUCUUUUAAUUUUAGUUUUUUUGUACAUAAAAAGCAAUAAUAAACAACUCAUUAACUGUACCUUAUAAAGGACCACACAUAAUGUCUCUUCACAUGAAAACGACUGCUCUAUGAAUUGAUUUUUUAUUUUUUUUAACAAAAUUGGAACUAUCAUUUGCUUGAUAUCUUGUGGAAACAGACUAAUUUUUAUAGCUCUUUGGAAGGCGAAUUCAACUCUUAGUAUGUUUGUGGGGCAUUAUUUAACCCAGCCGCUGAAAAUAGCAUAGGGCUGUUGAAAUGAAAUACACUAUCUGUUUCUCAAGUUCAUUUUAGGCAGAACUCCAAUUUGAAUUCUUACCCAUAUUAUUGAAAACUAUAAAACAAAAUCAAUACAAUGAUGGUAUCAUUUAAGCAACAAAAUGCACAAACUACAAAUACAUUAGCAUAUGCUUUACAUUAUCACUAUUUAUACAACACGGUAAUCGGCUAUGACCAACCCGUAAAUGUCCAUAUUAGUUUUGCUCAAAUGCAAUUGUAGUUUGGUCUUAGCCUGUCUAGGCUAUAAGCGCAUACAACCUUAAAGCCCUAGGAGAACCAGCUCACCUCUUGCCGCGAGGUCCAGGCCCGCCACUUCUUCGGCCAGGAGACCGAGAAAACUGAAGGCGCAAGUAGCUUGACUCAGGAUUGAUUUCAUCAACUUUAUAGCCUGCAUAACCCGUGAAGAAAUGAAUGCAUAAUUAACAGAAAAUCAUAAACAACUUAGUUCAAAUCCUAAUAGAGUUUAUCAGCGACUAAGAUACUUUAGGAACCAAUAAUUUGCAGAAUUUUGUAGUACAGAAUACAGAGGAGGCAGACACACUAAAGUGAAGGAUGAUAAUUAAAUCAGAAGUGAUGACCAUGAUAUUGAUAGUUAAUAUAACAGCAUCCCAGUAUGUGAAAAUUUAAUGUACUUUUGACCUGGAAUAUUACAAACAGAACCAUGGAUGUUGGGACCCAUUUUCAGUUUUAACUGCUCUAGUAACUGUAAAGUAUUGGUUUGAAUCAAGCUCUACAUCACAUGUAACUCACACAUUCAGUGUGACAAAGUGAUUUACAACUUUCCAAGUUGUAAACCUCGGUAAAUCUAUGAAUUAUUACUUGUUUAUAAACAUUAAAUUCAUCACCACUUAAUAACCACGUCUUGAUUCAGCACCAACUACCUAGGUGCAGUUUUCAAUUUUU